CCAUACCUCUUCUUAACAAACUCCAAAACCUAGAGUACCUUUUUCUAGGAAGCAACCUUUUGCAAGGUGUUAUUCCCGACGCACUUACAAAUUGUUCUAAUUUAGUUACACUAGAUCUCUCUGGAAACAACCUCAACGGUCUCAUUCCUCCUAGAAUAAGCUUUCUUACCAAACUAGCAUAUAUCAUCCUUUACAGUAAUCAUGUCACUGGGGAGAUACCAGCAUCCCUCAGAAACAUCACAAAUUUACAACUAGUCUAUUUUUCAAAAAAUCAGCUCAAUGGUAGAAUUCCCGACGAGGUUAUGCAAAUGCGAAACUUAAUGGAGUUGCACCUAGACCAAAAUAACCUAUCAGGUAGUAUUCCUGAGGUUUGGCAAAUGCCAAACAUAUUGCUGUUAGACCUAAGCAUAAAUAACCUCUCAGGUCGAAUCCCACGAGCUCUAUCUAAUGUAUCUUCUCUUCAGGAAUGGUCCUUGGCAUCAAAUAUGCUAGGCAGCACAUUACCAUCUAACAUUGGAGAUGCUCUACCGAAUCUCAUGAUUCUAUACUUGGGUGAGAACUAUUUCGAGGGUCACAUUCCAGCUUCCCUAGGAAAUCCUCCAGGUCUACGAGAGAUAGAUCUCUCAACGAAUUAUUUCACCGGCCAAAUCCCAAAUUCUUUGGGAAACCUUUCACUGCUGUCUUCUCUGAACCUUGAUCAAAACAUGCUUCAAUCAACAGACAAUGAAGGUUGGGAAUUCAUCCAUGCCCUGGGAAAGUGUAGAUCUCUAAAAAGACUUUCAUUGUCUAUUAAUAGGCUACAGGGAGCCAUACCAAAUUCUAUUGCAAACCUGUCCAGCACUCUUACAUAUCUGCUAAUGUCUGAAAACAGUCUAUCAGGAACAGUUCCCCCACGUAUUGGAAAAUUUAGUUCCUUAAUUCAACUAUCACUAGAUCAAAACAAUCUUACCGGUACAAUUGAAGAAUGGGUCGGAAAUAUGACAAAACUAGAACGUUUGAAUCUCCAAUCAAACAGCUUUGUCGGGAUAAUUCCACCUUCCAUUGGCCAACUUAUACGGUUGAAAUAUUUAUUUCUUGAUGAAAAUCAAUUCACUGGGUUUAUACCACCUAGCUUUGGAAACCUUAAAUCAUUGUUGCAGCUGCACCUUAGCUACAACAAUUUCAAAGGGGGCGUACCAUAGAGUUUUUGGAAAUCUUAUGAAUCUCAUACAUUUGGACCUUAGUAAUAACAAUCUACAAGGUGGGAUACCCUAGGAGAUUGGUAACCAAAAACAACUUGACAUCCUCCUCCUGUCAUCAAAUAAACGAACUGGAGAAUUUCCAGCUACUUUAGGCCAAUAUCCAGUCUUCACUAACCAUCAAAUGGACCUUGCAUGGAAACACUAAAUCAUUCCCAUAACAACUUGUCAGGUCACAACCCUUUGGCUCUAAGUGAUCUACAGUUUCUUAGUGUGCUAGACCUUUCAUAUAAUCAUCUCGAAGAAGUACCAAGAAAGGGAGUAUUUGAAAAUGCUAUAGCUGUUUAUCUUGACAGCAAUUGUGGACUUUGUGGAGGAGCAAAGGAUCUCCAUAUGCCUUUGUGCCAUAUUGAUUCACCAAGAACAGAGAAUCGGUACUAUUUGGUCAAAGCAUUGAUACCACUGUUUUCCUUCAUGUCAACCCUACUGUUGAUUUACUUCAGAAGAAGGGAUCAAGAAGGGCAUAUUUAUGGCUGCCAACCUUUGGGAAAAAAAUUCCCUAAUGUUUCUUACAGGAGUCUAGCUCAGGACACAGGGAACUUCUCUGAGUCUAACUUGAUUGGAUAUGGAGGCUGCAGUUUAGUCUAUAAAGGGAGGUUAGUCCAAGUUAAAAUGGAGGUGGCUAUCAAGAUUCUUGACACUGAAGAGCAAGAUGCGGAGAAAAGCUUUCUAGUAGAGUGUGAACUUCGGAGAAGUAUUCGCCACCGAAAUAUUCUACCUCUCAUAACCACAUGCUCCACAAUUGACAAUAAAGGCAAUACCUUCAAAGCUCUAAUUUAUGAAUUUAUGCCUAAUGGAAACAUGGACACUUGGCUGCAUUAUCAAGGGGACGGCAGAACUCCAGAAUGUUUAGGCUUAUCUCAAAGAAUAAAUACAGCUAUUAACAUAGCCGAUGCAUUGGCCUACUUACACAAUGACACUGGAAGGCCCAUUGUCCAUUGUGAUUUAAAGCCUAGUAAUAUCCUGCUAGAUGUUCAUAUGAAUGCUUACUUGGGUGAUUUUGGCGUCGCAAGGUUACAUAUUGAUUCUAAGUUGAGAUCAGUUGGCGAUUCAAGCUCAGCCUGUUCAACGAGUGCAAAAGGAACUAUAGGGUAUAUGGCUCUAGGUAGAACUUUAUCCUUCUAGGAUUUUUACAAAUUAUAUUAACAUGAACCAUAUUUUGCAAGUUGUUAUGCACUGAUUAUCACUUUUAUGUCUAUGAUUAGAGUAUGCAGGAGCUGGUAAUACAUCAACUUUUGGAGAUGUUUAUAGUUUUGUAAUAGUACUUCUUGAGAUGCUGACAGGCAAAAGACCAACAGAUCACAUGUUCAGGAAUGACUCACCAUUAUUAGCUUUGUGUGGAAAGGUACUUUCCCAAUCAGAUACUAGAUGUUGUCGAUACUCAUUUGCUAGAAGAAUCCAAGGCGUUCAUCGAAGCAACUGCGGCGACAGAAAAUCUUAAGAUCUUCCUGUGCUUGUUGUCUUUGCUACGAGUAGCACUUAUUUGUACACGCCAAAACCCAAGAGAACGAAUUAACAUGAGAGAAGUAGCAGCCAGAUUAAGUGCAAUCAAGAUGUCAUACGUGGGACUGUGGGAGGAAGAGUUAAGGGCUAAACUUCGUUCAAGAGACUCAUAAGUUGGGCUUCUCACAGGAGUUGAAGGAAGAAAGAAAAUGGUAAAAGUUUAAGCUUCUCGAUACAAUAGGGACUCUGCUUGUAGAACCAAAUUUGAAGAUUUUUGAAUGCUUUAGUGAAUUGAUUGAGUUAUACAAAAACAGCUUCAUUGGUCAAAUUCCUAUUUCUCUUGGCAAGCUCAUUAGCUUGCGCACUCUAUCCCUUGGGAGAAACAACCCUAGCUUGAAGCAAACGACAACCAAAGCUGGGAAUUCUUUGAUGCGUUGAAAAAUUGUAGCCUUCUACAAUAUCUCAUUCUAGGCAACAACCGACUAUAGGGAGUUAGAACACCUUCGGUUGGUAGCCUAACCACCAAUCUUAUAGUAUUACAAUUAAAUUGGAACAACCUUUCGGGAAUAGUUUCGCCAAGAAUACGAAACCUUUCCGGUUUAAUUCAACUAGGAUUAAGCUACAACAAUUUUACUGAACAAAUGAAUAAUGGAUUGGAGGAACUCUUAAACAUAUCUAGCUAUAUCCAUUGGAACAACUUUGAUGGGCCAAUUAUUCUCUACGACGUAUUACUCAGUUAGAAAGACUCUUACUACCAGAAAGUGAAUUUGAUGGUUCAAUACCACGUAUAGCUUAGGAGACCCUCAACAACUUUCCUGGUUGGGCCUUAGUAAUAACAAUCUUCAAGGAAACAUACCUCCCCAGCUUGGCAGCCUUAAAAAACUCACUGAUCUUCAUCUUCAAUCAAGCAAACCCACUAGGCCCCAUAGACUGCCAAGUGAGCUUCUGUCCCGUGAUCUUUUUUCCAGAAACUCCUUUAUGUCUGUGUUCUGUUGGUUAUCAGACUGCUUUGCUGAUGUUGCUUCUCCAUACAAAUCAUAUAUUCAUAUCCAAGAGGAAAUAUCAAAAAUGGAGUAUUUGCAUAUGCGACAGCGCUGUUUCACUAGAUAGCUAUUUAGGACUCUGUGGAGGAGUUACUAAUCAUCUGAAUAUGCUCUCAUGUCCAGCGGUUUCCCAGAGAAUACAAAGCCGAUAUUUUUCUAAUAAGAGUACUGAUCCAAGUAUUUGGCUUCAUGUCAAUUAUGUUGUUGAUCUGUACAUUGACGGACAAGAAGGUUCCAAGUAAAAUAUAUUUAUUGUUGCAGCAUUCAUUUGGCAAGUAGUUCCUACAAAGAUCUAGCUCAAGAGACAGCAAACUUUUUUCUGGAUCGAACCUACUUAGGAGAGGAAGCUAUGGCUCUGCGAUUGCUAUCUCUAGUGCAGAUCGCUCUUUCUUGCACUCGUGUAUUCCCAAGAGAAACAAUAUUGAACAUGAGAGAAGUUGCCAGUAAGUUGCAAUCAAUCAGAAUGACAUACGUGGGAUCGACCAAGAGAAAACAAGUCCUGAUUCAUAUUUAGUAGAGUAUUUUACAAUGUGACAGGAAUAUUCUGUAGGCAGUUUAGGUUCUCUUUGAAUGCAAUGGGCACAAAGUUGGUAAUUCAGCCUAUGAUUUCGCAUGUUAAAAAAGAACAAGAUACCCUGCUACUGCUAAGCUGCAGCCUGUUGGUGGUGAAUGAUGAACAGUGUCCAAUACCAUCAUAUUAAGAUUUGGCUUUUGAGCAUUUGGAAAAUUGGAUUUGAUAAAGUAUCAGUAAGUUGACAAAGUAUUCAGAUCGCUUCUAUGGUAGCGUGUGACUGUAACACUGAGUGGUGUUUUAAACCGACGUUACAUGGAUACGUCAGGGAGGUGCCGUAUCCUGUAUUGUAUACGUAUCCAUAUCGGAUACGGCCAGGAUACGUGAUGGAUAAAUAUAGUAAAUGUUGAUACGUGGGCCCACACGUAUCGGGCUGAUUUUGCGAUACGGCCUAGUCCAAAUCCACCUCUUAUCCACACACCUGCUACCUACUCGCUACAGCCCCCACCCCGACAUCCUCACGCAUUGCGCUGCCGGCCCCUCGCUCCCCCGCACGGUGGUCACAUGAGCGCCUCCACCUGCUGGAGGGGGCACCAGGCCGGCGUCCGCCAGAGAAGGACCUCUGCCAGGGGACGCUCCGUAGCUCUGAUUUGCCUGCGAAGAAGCUCUGCAGCUCUGACAACCAAGCUCACGACGGAACUAAUUGCCAAGGCGGCGACAUUCUGUGAGUUUCUUCCUCAUCAGCUUGUUUGGUGGCUCUUCCCUUUCUCGAUCUACAUUUGUUCUUCGGUUCUUGAUAUUUUGCUGCUCAAUUUUCCGAUUCCCUUCCUCAUCCUAAUCUUUCGCCAACAGAUAGCAGCACCAAAUUCGAGCGUGCUAGUUCUACUUUUUCUUUGCCUACCGGCUAACGCUCCUCUUUCAAGCAAUAACGAUAAGAAGAACAAGAGUGGAUCCGACCUGCUUCACCAAUUGACAAAUUUUUAGCAUUGCACCUGGUUAUUGUUGUAAAAUUUGUUAUGCAUUAUUUUUAUAUAUUAAAAAAUUGACUAAAUGUAUCGGCGUAUCGUAUUGUUUGGAAAAAUCACGUAUUUGCGUAUCUGUAUCCGUCCGAUACUUUAUGAUAAAUGGAACGACGCAGCUAAUCGACCGCAAGUCCGCAAUCUAGCUAACAACCGCUCGGAUCCCUAAUCCGAACCUCAAACUACAGUCACUCAAAAAGUUAAGGUCGACGAGAUGCUGUGCAUACCGUUAGUGCGGCCGCUGGUCAGCCGCCUGCUUCGCCGUCCGCCGCUGCCCGCAACUGCGACUGCUCCACGCUCUGUCCCAGACGACGCGCGCCGCCUGCGCUCGCGUAGUGGCCGAUUUCUUCCGCAACGGCGCGGUGCCGCCGCGGUGGGACCGUGGGAACCGCUUCGUCGCUUUGUGACCGGUGAGAUUUUGCCAGUCUGUAGCCGUCGUUGGGCAAGAAGGCCGACGAGGCUUUGUUGGCUGGGCCGUUUUUGUUUUUGGGCCAUGGCACGAUGACCCAGUCCGCUCUUCUUUGGAUCUGUUCAUGUCGUGCACACAACAGGUGGCGAAUCAGUUCCAACCUUUUUGUUAGCCUCUUGCUUGCCUCAAGAUUUCCAGGAAUUAAUUCUGGCCCUGGGAUAUAGUAGAAAAUUGGUGCUUAAUGGUGACGAAAUUUCCAGGAAUUAAGGGAGCUCCUGCUCUCAAUCUCCAAGUUCAAUCACUCGAAACAAACAAGCCAUAGAACAUGCAAGGUUAUUCAGCUUCUGCACAUUACCAUAUACGUACUUAUGAACAAUGUUAUCUGAAUACAACAACGUCAGGAGUGCAACUUCUUGUUAAGUCAAAUAAUAACAUUGAUUACUUCACCACAUGCUAAUGUAGCUUCCAAAACAUCGACAAAAAAAUAGUUAAACAUAGCGCAAUACAAUUGUACUGUAGACACAGCUACAGUCGCAAUACAACAAUGUUUAGUUUGGCUUGCACAGAAUUUUUUUCUUGGACGAACGGGCACACAAAACUGUGCACUAUUUCUAUUAAUAUAGAAGGAGUAACAAACGGGCAGCCAUGGAAGGCUCCCUCUCCCUACAUGCUAAAAAAAUGUACAAGUGUAAAAGACUAAAACUGAACAGAAAAUUUGGAUCUAUACACUUCUAGGAUGGUUUAAAUUCACAAAGUUCUUUCUUCAAAGAAUUUAUCCAGAUGCACAACCUUUAACGGACUAGCACAAUAAAACACGAGGUUGUAUAUUUCCUUAAGACAUGAAAGAACGUGGUGUCAUGAAAGAAUUUGCAUCCUCAAACAGAACAAAUGAUGCAUGGAUGUAACUCAUCCUCAGAUCUAGUGUCGCUCAAAUUGAUUGGGGAGGUGGUGACUACGCUUUCGGGCUGCGGCUAACCCUGCUACCCCAUUGGACGAUGCGCUGGCUCCAGAAUGCAAACCAUUAUUGGUGAUACAGUGGUUUCCGUGUGAGCUUUUUUUUUCGGAGCCCUUAUGAACAUGUAGGUGAGGGAAUCAAAGGACGUAGCACAUAGGGGUCGCUCAUGGUUUUGGCGUCGUGUCCGGCGGCCAAAUACAUUCCGUUGCGUGACCACCCUGCGCGAGACGACACUGCACAAGCGGACGCGGCGGCCUCAUGACUCAUGCGUGCAAUGAUCGUUGCACCUCGUUCCCUUGCCGUCGGGAUGCGUGUGAUGAUCGUGACUACGGUUUCUCGCAUACUUCCUCCGUUUCAAAAUGUAGAUUUUUAAUUUUUUUAAGUACAUAGAUUUUACUAUAUAUCUAGACAUUACCGUAUAUUUAAGUGCACAGUAAAAUUUAUGAAAUUAGAAAAAAUCAAAACGAUCUACAUUUUGGAACGGAGGGAGUGGAGAUAGAUGCUGCUAUGCUGCCGCAUGUGCGACGAAGCUAGCUUAUGUACACAGUUUACCCUGUAGCAUAGAUCUCUGGUCAGUAGAUAGAUGUUUUGUUCACGAUUCCCUUAAUUACUGCAAGUGGUGCACAAAUUACGACUAGCGCCCAUAAACCUUCAACAAGAUGCAAGCUGUAUCCGGCAUACCAGGGUGGAGAAUGGCCCUUAUACAGUCGUACUGCUGUACAACCACUGAUUUCACAAUUCAGGACUCACGUCCUAUACUCCAAGUGCCUGAUUUUUUCCUUACCUUUUACUUUUAUUCCAGUCGCCAGCAAGUUAACGGCAGCGGCUCUCUGGUGGAACUUGCCGGGUGGUGGCAAGCCUGGCUGUGAGGGCAGGACCGCAGGAAGGCAGGGCUAGGGAUGCGGGGCGGGUUUUUUUGGCCGCGAACCUGCUGGGUGAGCCCGUACCGUGAAUCCACGUAACCCGCGUAAUUGCAGCGGUCCAAGCGGGCAUGCCCGCCGUACUCAACGGCGCCGCAAGCGUCAUUCAUACGAGCGUGAAAAUUCUUAUCUUCUCCUAAUAGUACAACAGGCCGUCCCUAGUCACUGCUUUGACUUUUUAUCAACCAGCGGCUGGUAUGUUGCUUAUAUAUGGAGCCACGGCAACUUAUGUAACUAGAUUUUGUGUUUGUUGAAGAUUUUUUUACCUCACGAUCUUGUAAUAAGUGUGCACAUGAAUUAGCUCGAUCUAGUUUGAGUUGGGACUCGGAUCAGUCAUGUGUUUGGCUUAAUCCCCUACCGGAAUUUGUAAAGUUAUUAGCAGUUCAUAAUUUUCCUGAACCACAGACAAAACGAUUUGUAGUGAUGCCCAUUGUUUAGCGACGGGCGAAAUUACCACCUGCACCUACAAAACGUGGGGAGGAGGAUUACUGUAGCAUCCGCACCGCCCCUGGAGAAACAUUUGCAGGGACGGGUCACGAGGACCCGCCCCUAGAAAUGGGCACUAUUUCCAAGGGUGGGUGAUGCCGAUACGUCGCCAAGAAUUUUUUACAACAAAAAGAAAAAUAAUUUGCAGGGAUGGGUGAUGGCGUCAUCCGUCCCUAAAAAUCUUUUCUAGGAGUAGGUGAUGGUGUCACCCGCCCCUUUCCCAGGGCAGGUGACUGCUAAUGCCUCCUAUAUAAGGCAGUCCGCACCGGGGACUUAGCCAAAAAUUCACAGAAGCGCGCGGGACGUCGUUAGGCUGCCGAAUUUUCACUUCCCUCCCCCGAUCUGCCGCCCCCUCCCCCAUGGGCUCCACCACCGCAGUGCCUCCCCUUCCCCCCGGGCCACCGCGCCACGCCUCCUCCCCUCCCUCACGGCGCCUUCCUGUCGCGGCGCCUCCCCUCCCCGCUGCCUCCACCGCUGGGCCAUAGCGCUGAGCCUCCUCCCCUCCUCCCGUGGUGCCUUCCCAUUGCGGUGCCUCCUCUCCCCGCGUCUCCCCUCCUGUGCCGCCUCCACCACCAUGCCUCCCUUUCCACGGGCUACCGCCAUAGCGCCUCCCUCCCCCGCGCGCCUCCCUUCCCCGCGGUGCCUCCGUCCACGACCGUCAGUUUCUUAAUUUUAUUUUAUUUUCUUUUUAUUUUUUUAUUUUGAUUUUAUUUUAACUAUGAGCCGUACUCUCUCCGUCCCAAAUUACAAGUUAUUUUGGCCUUUUUAGAUUCAUAGACUUUGUUAUGCACUAAGAUAUACACUAUAUCUAGAUGCAUAAUAAUAUCUAUGCAUCUAGAAAAGCCAAAACGACCUAUAAUUUGGGAUGGAGGAAGUAGUACUUAGUGUAAAACAACAAUUACAAAUUUCUUCCAUUAUCUUAGACAAUCUUUUAUCCUUAGCAUUUCGUGAAUUAUGAUGUUUUACGGCGCAAUUAUUAUUAAAGUUGAUGUUUGUGGAAUAAUCUAUCUUAUUACAAUUUUAUUUGGAUAGUUUGUGCUAAGUAUGGCAAAUAGACAUUCUUUUCGCCACGGUGGUGGCGGUCGUGGAAGUGGCAGGGAACACUACAUUUUCGAGGAGCCACCGUUGGUUCGUCCUCCGGGAAUUCACUUCCCUAAUCGCGUCAUUGACUUGCCUACCGACGAUCGAAGUAAAGGAGCAAUUUCCAAUAUAGUAAUUCCUAAUUUUAUUACACAUGCAUAUAGUUCCCAAUAUAGUAAUAUUAUUUCCUUCUUGUAAUUGGUUGUUUUAUUACACAUUAAUAAUUUCUUUUUACUUACAUACAAUAUAGCUUAUGGACCCUAUUAGAUGGCUCAAAGAUGUUGUCGAAGCUCUAGAUGGUACCACUCCUUUAGUGUAAUCCGAGGUUGGUGGUGCAAGUAAUUUUAUAAGACUAAAGAUCUCUUUUGAAGUACCUGUUCGAGGAGGAUAGGCCAACUUGAUGCGACGACCAGGAUAGGCUAUUCCGAUGGUAUCAAUUGUCGCAUGAGGUAAAGAAGCAGCUUGACUUUUGAAAAGCCCGUCGUAAAGGCAUGCCUACAACAACUGGAUAAUGGGUACUUUAUGCCAGGCUUCUUAUAUUUUCGAAUAAAGACGCUCGAGGAGAGAGAAAGCAAUGUGACUAUGACUACUGUGAGGUUUUAUCAGCUGAAUCAACAUGACAUGGUAUGUAAUAUAUCUAUUCAUUCUUACAUCUUUAGUUAUGUUACAUCUCUCAACUUUCAUCACAUUAUUUUUAUUUUUAGGAUAUCUUUGGUCAAAUAUUUGCGGCAAUGAGAUUUCAUACGAUUCUAGCUCAAGUCUUAGAUGUGUUGAAUUAUAGUUACAUCGAUGGAAACUUGAUACGCACUAGAGAUUUUAAGCUCCAGGCUCAUCUCACUUUCUACAGGCCAUAUGAUUUUACCUCUCCAUUGUUCGAGAUUUAUGGUAGUGUAUGUGAUCAUCCAUACGAAGCGAUAGAGAGUGCACUAAUUCAUGCUCUAGUUUAUAUUGAUGAAGUUCUAGGCUUUAAGAUUAGAGACUUAAACUAUAUUUCAUAUCUAUGAAGCGAAGCUAAGUAUGAAAUAUGUAGCAUGCAUGGAUGCUCUACCCUUUUCUUAUGAAUUUGAACUUGUUCUGUCUAAGACCAAAGUAUUUAUGCAUGAACUUGCAUUAUGAGACUGGUUAUAUAUAUUCUGUUGCAUAUACAAUGUUCUGUGAGUGUUGGAUCUGAAUGGGUUGAUACAUGGGAGAAUCACAUUUUAAAAAUUUGGCGCAAAAAUAGUACAAAAUUUUGGCGGGAACGACAUUUCCAGCGGCGGGUGAUACCAUCACCCGCCUAGUUUGUAAGGGCGGUUCAUGACAUCACCCGCCCUUGAAAAUGUCUUUACAGGGUGGAUCUAUUACACGCUCUUGCAAACAGCUACUUUUAACUGCGAAAAGCAGGAACGGAUAGCAUGCCCGCCUUUACAAAUGCUAUUUCAACCAUCCUUGGAAACCGUUUUUUAUAGUGAUAAAUAAAAAAAUAUUUUUUAAAAAAAGUACAAUAGGCCGUCCUAACCCUACGAGCGUCAUGCGUACGAGCGUGAAGCGUCCCUGCCCUCCAAACCCAGUAGCAAUCACUGUGGCUCCUGAGUGCUGCCCCAAGCUUGAAGCUUCGUAUCCGAAAGUUCUCCUUUGGCCGCACUUGGCAUUGUCCUGCGACCCUGUCUCCCAGUCUGGCAGACCGCCACUGCCUGGCUCGAGCACGGUACCACCAUUCAAGUGAAGCAUUAGUGGUCUCCGUUUCAGCCAUUCUCGAGACCAUCCGAACAGUUAAAUUAGGUCAGGCAUAAGAGGAUAUCAAACGCCUUCCUGGAUCGCUGGGCUUCGUGCCGAAGCCAGCUAGCUACACACCUUUGGCAUCGUCGGGGGCUCAUCCCUGCACAAGAUAGUCGUGCCGUUCGAUCACCAUCCCACGUUGGCAGCCUGGCAGGACGCCCGUGAGGCGAUGAGUCGUUACGCGAGCUUAGACAGGUUAAGUAACUAUAGUAACCUUCUACUGCUUUAACUAACUGAUAAUCACUUCGAAGGAAGAAUACCAGAUUCUAUUCACUAGUAGAGAAUUGGCUUUCGAUCCGCCCCCUUUUGUCCCGGUUUAAAGUUGGCCCGGGACAAAAGGGGGUGCGCCACGGUAGGUAAAAUUGGAGGGGAGAUUUACUCCCGGUUGGUAAUUGCAACCGGGACUAAAGGCCCCACUUUAGUCCCAGUUGCAACGGCUAGCUGGGGGGCGUCGGUGGCGGGACCCUUUUAUCUCAGUUGGAGGAUCCAACCGGGAUAAAAGGUGAACCCUUUUAUCCCGGUUGGAGGCACCAACCGGGAUAAAAAGUUUAGUCCCGGUUGGUGCCUCCAACCGUUGGAGCCUCCAACCGGGACUAAACUUCCAACCAGGACAAAAGGUGUUCCUUUUUGUCUCGGUUGGAGUUUUUAACCGAGAUAAAAACUCAUCCCCAUUAUAUACGGCCAAGACAGAGGACUUUCUUCCUCCUCCAGCCCGAGCCAGUCCAGCACAUUGACAGAGAGAGCUGAGCUUCACCUACUCUCCAGUGGUGCCGAAGCAAGCAAGGAAGGUGCUGCCCGAAGUUUUUUCCCUCAUUUUCGUGGGAAUUUCACUUGGCCAACACAAGUGUUGCGAAGGUUUGCUACUUCAUCCUCGUGUUAUGCUUUGAUUUAUGCUUUGGAGAUGGAAAGAUUAUUUGCUAGAAUGUGAUGAUGAAGUAGAAAAAUGGAGAGGUAUUUUGAGCUAGAAUGUGAGGGAGAUUGAUGUGUCAUAUAUAGUAUGCAUUAUUGCAAUGGUUUAAAAAUGAUGCUACCUUGUCUAGACGGUUUAUCUUAUCAAAUUCAAUAUAGUUUUUUAAAUCCAUACUUGUUGAACUUGCAUACCAUGUUCAUUUCUGCUACGAUGUUCUCCGCCGAGCAGCAACGUAUGUCAAGAAGGAGGUUCGAUUCUACAAGAAAGAGUGGAUACGGACAUCGUGACCGUGUCCCCUUUUCCGUAGCAUCUAACCUCUUUCAUGACGAAGUGCGGUGCUGCCCAGCUGAGGACAUCCUCGCGAAAUGAUCACGGUCUUCAAGUUCAACAACUUCUGUAGUGGUAAGGAAAGAAUUUUUGUACAUAGAUGACUUCUGCUACUUGUUGAACUUGCAUACCGUGUUCAUCUCUCCGAGGAUGUUUUCCGCCGAGCAGCAACGUAUGUCAAGAAGGAGGUUCGAUUCUACGAGAAAGAGUGGAUACGGACAUCGUGACCGUGUCCCCUUUUCCGUAGCAUCUAACCUCUUUCAUGACGAUGUUGGGAUACGAGGUAGGCUACACUAGCGUAAAUCAAAAUUUCUACCGCGUAUAACCAGGAAGAACUGCCGUAUAAGGAUCACGGGAUUACCACUCGACGCACUACUGGUGCGGAAGAUGUAGAUAUGCGUCGAUGCAGUGAAGACGAUCACGUAGUCGUACGUAGUCGAUCAACGUAGUCGUACGUAGUCGAUCACGUCACGUCCAGCAGCUCCCACGUGCAGCAAGAUCGCCUCCGGUGCCGCGGCUCAUCGUGGCUCGUCGAUGGCUCGUCCAAGUGCUGCAGGCGCAACACCUCCAAGGUAUCCACACGUGCAGGGAGGAAGCGUCGCAAGCUGGACUGCUAGAUCCGCGAGUUGCAACAGGCGAGGGCGUGGGAGGCGCGGCAGAUGUGUUUCGCCAAAAGGUGUAAACCCUAGGGCGCCCCCACCCCUCUAUUUAUAGAGGUUCCUGACGGGCCUCUGGAUCCGAGGCCCAUUAGUACUUCUAAAACUAAUCCAACUCGGAUCUGAUCCGAAUUGGGCUUCCAGCCCCUUAAGUGUGUGACCCUAUGGGUUCGGAUACGUAUAGACAUGGCCCGAGUACUCCUACUCGGCCCAAUAGUCGGUAGCGGCCUCUAGCAAGACGUGCCAACUCCUACACGCACACGAAGAUCAUAUCAGACGAACCAUCACAACAUAAUAUACAUGCUAUUCCCUUUGCCUCACGAUAUUUGGUCUAGCUUCAAGCCGACCGCUCUUUCUCGAUCCUGUGAUUCGGAAUCCCUUUGUAGGUUAACUCUUAACCGUACGUAGCAUGGCCAUGCAUUUUCGGAUCCGAUCACUCGAGGGCCCCAGAGAUAUCACUCUCAAUCAGAGAGGGGCAAAUCCUAUCUUGACUGACCAUGUCUCAUAGCAUGCUUCUUGACAAACCCGAAAGCUACCUUUAUAACUACCCUGUUACGGCGUAGCAUUUGAUAGCCCCUAAGUAGGUCGAUCCACAUCUAGAAUACAUGCGACAGUCUCAGGUCUAAGGACAAAGCGUAUAUGUUGUUUAAAGAGAGAACUACUUCUCGUGUUGGGUCAGUCCUAGCACAUGUCUCCACAUGUGUCCACAUUAUCAGUUCAACAUCUCCAUGUCCAUGACUUGUGAAACAUAGUCAUCAACUAAUACAUGUGCUAGUCUAAUAUUCAUGUGUGUCCUCACAUGAACUCCGACUAGGGACAACUUUAGAAUAACCAUACAAGUAAAGAGUUUCACAUACAAUUCACAUAAUUGCAAAUCAAUUCAAGUAGCCUUUAAUGGAUAUUCAAUGAACACAAUAUACAAAUCAUGGAUACAAAUGGAAUAUCAUCAUCUCUAUGAUUGCCUCUAGGGCAUACCUCCAACAGUCUCCCACUUGCACUAGAGUCAAUCUAGAAGGUACCUAAUACCCAUAGCUCUUACAUGCGCAUCAUGCUUAGCCUGCGGGAGUGGUUUUGUCAAUGGAUCAGAAAUGUUCAGAUCCGUGUGUAUUUUGCAUAUCUUGAUCUCACCCCGGUUAACGAAGUCUCGAAUGAGAUGAAAUCGCCGCAUUACGUGUUUGUUCUUCUGGUGGUUCCUUGGCUCCUUUGCUUGCGCAAUUGCCCUAUUAUUAUCACAGUAGAGAUUCAAUGGGCUGGACGCAUUCGGGAACACACCAAGCUCAAUGAGGAAAUUCCUUAUCCAAACACCUUCCUUCGCGGCUUCCAAAGCCGCGAUGUACUCGGCUUCUGUCGUAGAAUCGGCCACCGUCUCCUGCUUGGAACUCUUCCAACUAACAGCACCACCAUUUAGCGUGAACACAAAUCCUGAUUGUGACUUUGAAUCAUCUCUGUCGGUUUGGAAACUAGCAUCGGUGUAACCUGUUACAACGAGCUCCUCCUGACCUCCAUAGACGAGGAACAUAUCUUUAGUCCUUCUCAAGUACUUAAGAAUGUUUUUCACCGCUGUCCAGUGACUCUCACCUGGAUCAGAUUGGUGUCUGCUUGUCAUACUUAGCGCAUAUGAAACAUCUGGGCGAGUACUUAUCAUUGCAUACAUGAUAGAUCCAAUAGCCGAGGCAUAUGGCACUCUACUCAUGCUAUCCCGCUCAUCAGCAGUCGAAGGACACUGAGUCUUGCUGAGAUGUAUGCCAUGUGACAUAGGCAAGAACCCUUUCUUUGCCUCUUCCAUGCUGAACCGCUUCAACACUUUGUCAAUAUAAGUAUCUUGGCUCAAACCUAUAAGCCUUCUCGAUCUAUCUCUAUAGAUCUUAAUGCCCAGAAUAUAUGCCGCUUCCCCUAAGUCCUUCAUCGAAAAACUAUUUUUCAGUGAAGUCUUUACGGACUCAAGCAUAGGAAUGUUAUUUCCAAUCAGUAAUAUGUCAUCCACAUAUAAGAUUAGAAAUACUACAGAGCUCCCACUAACCUUCUUGUAAACACAAGACUCUUCUUCGUUCUUGGUGAAGUCAAACCCUUUGACCACUUCAUCAAAACGAAUGUUCCAACUCCUAGAUGCUUACUUCAAUCCAUAAAUGGAUCUCUGAAGCUUGCAUACCUUUCCAGCAUUUUUCGGAUCGAUAAAACCCUCGGGCUGUAUCAUAUACACGUCCUCAGCUAGGUUUCCAUUCAGGAAAGCUGUCUUGACAUCCAUCUGCCAUAUCUCAUAAUCGAAAUAUGCAGCUAUAGCUAGAAUAAUCCAAAUGGACUUAAGCAUCACUACGGGCGAGAAGGUCUCGUCGUAGUCAACUCCUUGAACUUGUCAAAAACCUUUUGCGACAAGUCGUGCUUUAUAGAUGUGAACAUUUCCAUCCAUGUCCUUUUUCUUCUUAUAGAUCCACUUGCACUCUAUGGCUUUAACACCAUCAGGUGGGUCAACCAAGUUCCAAACUUGAUUGUCUCCCAUGGACUCUAUUUCGGAUUGCAUGGCACUCUGCCAUUUUUCGGAGUCUGGGUCCAUCAUUGCUUCUGCAUAUGUCGCAGGCUCAUCAUUGUCCAACAAUAAUAUUUCCCGCAUUUCGCGGAGCCUUGCCGACCUUCAUGGUUGUGGCGGUGCUUCUCUUGCCAUGGGUAUCUCAACUUGUUCUGCUACGUCAGCAUCACUCAUUGGUUCUUGCCCGAUUGGCUCAUCUUGAACUUCUUCAAGAUGCACUGUCUUUCCACUCUUUUCUCCUUUGAGAAACUCUUUCUCUAGGAAAACCCUGUUCCGAGCGACAAACACUUUGCCUUCUGAUCGGUUGUAGAAAUAAUAUCCCAAAGUUUCCUUUGGAUAUCCCACGAAAAUGCACUUAUCCGACUUGGGUGUGAUCUUGUCCGACUGAAGUCGCUUGACAAACACUUCACAUCCCCAAAUCUUUAGAAAAGACAAACUAGGAACCUUUCCAGUCCAUAUCUCAUAUGGUGUCUUAACUACGGAUUUAGAUGGUACCCUAUUAAGUGUGAAAGCUGCUGUUUCUAGAGCGUAUCCCCAAAAUGACAAUGGUAGGUCCGAAUGGCUCAUCAUUGAUCGAACCAUGUCUAACAAAGUUCGAUUACGUCGCUCGGACACACCGUUUCUCUGAGGUGUUCCAGGCGGCGUAAGUUGUGGAACAAUUCCGCAACUCUUUAGAUGAUUGCUAAACUCGUGGCUCAAAUACUCGCCUCCACGAUCAGAUUGUAAGGCCUUAAUUUUCUUGCCACGCUGAUUUUCAACUUCAUUCUGAAAUUCCUUGAACUUUUCAAAGGUUUCAGACUUGUGCCUCAUCAAGUAGACAUAGCCAUAUCUACUAAAAUCAUCAGUGAAAGUUAUGAAGUAUUGGAAUCCUCCUCUAGCCGUCAUGCUCAUUGGUCCGCAUACAUCACUAUGUACGAGUUCCAACAAGUCUACUGCUCUCUCAGGAAAUCCUGUGAAAGGCGUCUUGGUCAUCUUGCCUAGCAAGCAAGCCUCACAUGUCUCGUAUGAUUCAAAAUCAAACGAAGUUAGAAGUCCAUCAGAAUGGAGCUUCUUCAUGCGCUUUUCACUUAUAUGACCCAAACGACAAUGCCACAAGUAGGUAGGACUCAAAUCAUUAGGCCGAGGCCUUUUAGCACUUACAUUACAGACAGGUGAACCAUCAAGAUUUAAAACAAAUAAUCCAUUCACAAUGGGUGCAAAAGCCAUAAACAUAUUAUUCUUAGAGAUCACACAACCAUUGUUUUCACUCGCAAAUGAAUAACCAUCCUUCAUCAAACAUGAAGGAGACAAAAUGUUUCGACUUAAACUAGGAACAAAAUAACAAUUAUUCAACUCCAUAAUAAAUCCUGACGGGAGGUGGAGUUGCAUCGUCCCGACGGUCAACGCAGCAACUCUUGCAUUAUUGCCCACGCGGAAAUCAACUUCUCCUCUUUCCACGCUUCUACUUCUUAUCAUUCCCUGCAUUGAAUUGCAAAUAUGAGCAACCGAUCCGGUAUCAAAUACCCAAGAAUUAAUAACUGUAUCAGUGAGAAAUAUGUUGUCUAUAACAUUAACAACAAGCGUACCUGAGGUAGAAGUACUCUUACUUCCGCCGUUCUUCAACGAAGCUAGGUACUGCUUGCAGUUUCUCUUCCAGUGACCAAGUUCAUGACAGUAAAAGCACUCUUUAUCUGGAGCAGGUCCAGCUUUAGCCUUGGGCGCUGGGUUUGGCUUGGACACUCCAGCCUUGCCCUUCUUCUUCCAAGAAUUGCCCUUCUUCUUAAAGGUAGGCUUGUUCUGUACAGCCAUCACAUGGCUGGUACUAGCGCUUUUCUUAAUGUCUACCUAUGCUGUCUUGAGCAUACCACACAGUUCAUUCAGACCCUUCUCCGUCCCAUGCAUAUGGUAGUUCGAGAUGAAGUUCCCAUAGCUAGGCGGAAGAGAUGAAAGAAUGAAGUCAGUGGCCAAAUCUUUGCCCAUUGGGAAGCCCAGCUUCUCCAAUCGCUGAGUGUAACCAACCAUCUUGAUUACAUGUGGUCCUACUGCUGCGCCUUCUGCUAACUUGCACUCCAGAAAGGCUUUGGACACAUUGAACCUUUCGGUCCUAGCCUGUGUCUGGAACAUGUCCUUGAGCGCCAUGAUCAUAUCGUGUGCCUCAUGAUUUGUUUCGAACUGCAUCUGCAGCUCGGGUUCCAUGCAAGCAAGCAUAAGGCAGCUUACCUCAAGAUUAGCAUCAAAUGCCUUCUUGUAAGCAGCCUUAACGGCAGCAGAUGCAUCAUCAGCAGAUACUGGUGGUAGUGGGGUGUCUAGAACAUCUUCCUUUUUCUCAGCCCUGAGAACAAUUCUUAGGUUAUGGAUCCAAUCCGAGUAGUUUGUUCCAUUCAACUUGUCCUUCUCAAGGACCGAACGCAAAGCAAACGAUGCGGUGGUGUUGCUAGGUGCCAUUUAAUCUACAACAAAAGUAAUGCAAAAUACACUAAGACAAACGUAUCCAUGAUAGAGCAAAUUACAUUAAACUAUUUUAACAGAAUCUACUCCCACUAAAAUCAAUAUCGCUCUAUUGAAACUUAGUGAUUCAGGAUCCACAACUAACAAGUCUACUAGUGAGCUUUAGCAUCACCGCUAGCAAACGAGGUAGAUCGGUAAGCAACUUUUGCUAAUCAUAUCACAUAUGACUCCUGUUGUUGGGUGACAUCUCUAUGUCUCGGCACCCAACCUUUAUGCCCCAAGGUCCUUAACCAUUAAGAUAACCUUGUUAAGCAAACCAACCCUUAUGCGUGUAAGUGUCCGACACAAACCCGUCUAGUCAAGGAAAACUAGUGGCACCCUAAUUUCAUAGACCCACCACUAAUUGUACAAGACAUGGGACGGUGCAAGUUUUAGUUGGGAGGGCAUACUAACUUAAACUUUGUGAGGGAUCGUUCUACUUCUAACAUCACAGCAUGCAGAAAGUAAAACAUAAACAGAAUAGCAUUCACACAGUUGUGACACAGUAUGGCCCGUUUCCAUAUGGUGAUCUCCAUCUCCAUGUUCCAUGUGCGCCAUCCUCCUGGUGAAGAUUCCUCCAAGAACUAGAGCAUGCUAUUACGCCUAAUAGCUAGUAAAGAAUCUAGUAAUGAAGAUUACAUAGUUGCUUGGAUCAUCACAGAUUGGUACGCAGACCAUUAAAUACAUUAAGGUGACAACACAUAUGGCUCAUGCCGUGUUGCCGUAUGCGCGACACGCAGGUCACGAAUGAGUUACACACAUGCAUCACAUACACAAGGGGGCCAUACUGAUCACAAGAUACAUACAUACAUCCUGCAAAACAGAGUUAGACGCCCUAACGUUCCAAACUUCGGAUGCCCGAAACUCCAUCUUCCAAGCCGAAUUUGGGAAAUCUAAUUUCACCAAAAACGACAAAGCGUUGAAUUUCAUGUGUAACUUUUUCUGUAGAUCAAUUUUCGUAUAAAAAUCGCCCCGAUCCGAGAUCGUACCGAAAAGUUACGGCUGAUUUACCGAAGCAUACGCAUACGGCAAAAUCCCAACCUCGGCAGUAGAUCCCAUCUACUAUUGCACAUCUAAUGCGCCUGGCGUAUGACCCUGGAUCUCGAUUCGACCAAUCAUAUUGAUCUUCGCUCACUGCAACUGGAUUUACGUGUAUCACUUAACUCCGAUGGCGGAAACCGACCGGUAGGAGUAUGUCGUUACACUACCAUUGUAGCAAGGGCACGAAACCAGGACAUAGAUCAAACAGAAAACUCGCAUAUCUCCAUAUGCACACAUCCCGAAUCCAAAACUAAGCAGCUACGGCUCUUGAUACCACUGUUGGGAUACAAGGUAGGCUACACUAGCGUAAAUCAAAAUUUCUACCACGUAUAACCAGGAAGAACUGCCGUAUAAGGAUCACGGGAUUACCACUCGACGCACUACUGGUGCGGAAGAUGUAGAUAUGCGUCGAUGCAGUGAAGACGAUCACGUAGUCGUACGUAGUGGAUCAACGUAGUCGAUCACGUCACGUCCAGCAGCUCCCACGUGCAGCAAGAUCGCCUCCGGUGCCGCGGCUCGUCGUCGGCUCGUCAUGGCUCGUCGAUGGCUCAUCCAAGUGCUGCAGGCGCAACACCUCCAAGGUAUCCACACGUGCAGGGAGGAAGCGUCGCAAGUCGGACUGCUAGAUCCGCGAGUUGCAACAGGCGAGGGCGUGGGAGGCGCGGCAGAUGUGUUUCGCCAAAAGGUGUAAACCCUAGGGCGCCCCCACCCCUCUAUUUAUAGAGGUUCCUGACGGGCCUCUGGAUCCGAGGCCCAUUAGUACUUCUAAACCUAAUCCAACUCGGAUCUGAUCCGAAUUGGGCUUCCAGCCCCUUAAGUGUGUGACCCUAUGGGUUCGGAUACGUAUAGACAUGGCCCGAGUACUCCUACUCGGCCCAAUAGUCGGUAGCGGCCUCUAGCAAGACGUGCCAACUCCUACACGCACACGAAGAUCAUAUCAGACGAACCAUCACAACAUAAUAUACAUGCUAUUCCCUUUGCCUCACGAUAUUUGGUCUAGCUUCAAGCCGACCGCUCUUUCUCGAUCCUGUGAUUCGGAAUCCCUUUGUAGGUUAACUCUUAACCGUACGUAGCAUGGCCAUGCAUUUUCGGAUCCGAUCACUCGAGGGCCCCAGAGAUAUCACUCUCAAUCAGAGAGGGGCAAAUCCCAUCUUGACUGACCAUGUCUCAUAGCAUGCUUCUUGACAAACCCGAAAGCUACCUUUAUAACUACCCUGUUACGGCGUAGCGUUUGAUAGCCCCUAAGUAGGUCGAUCCACAUCUAGAAUACAUGCGACAGUCUCAGGUCUAAGGACAAAGUGUAUAUGUUGUUUAAAGAGAGAACUACUUCUCGUGUUGGGUCAGUCCUAGCACAUGUCUCCACAUGUGUCCACAUUAUUAGUUCAACAUCUCCAUGUCCAUGACUUGUGAAACAUAGUCAUCAACUAAUACAUGUGCUAGUCUAAUAUUCAUGUGUGUCCUCACAUGAACUCCGACUAGGGACAACUUUAGAAUAACCAUACAAGUAAAGAGUUUCACAUACAAUUCACAUAAUUGCAAAUCAAUUCAAGUAGCCUUUAAUGGAUAUUCAAUGAACACAAUAUAUAAAUCAUGGAUACAAAUGGAAUAUCAUCAUCUCUAUGAUUGCCUCUAGGGCAUACCUCCAACAGACGAAGUGCGGUGCCGCCCAGUUGAGGACAUCCUCGCGAGAUGAUCACGGUCUUCAAGUUGAACAACUUAUGCAGUGUUAAGAUAAUAAUUUUUGUACAUAGAUGGCUUCUGCUACUGGAGGAAGUGGCGAUGGUGGGGGCGAUCGUGGUUCCUAUUAUGGCAAGGUUCCAAUCAUAGUUGGCCCUCACCAUAAGCCAAAGAAAAAGAGCACGCUAGAAAAAGCAAUGCUUCGUUAUUUGCGGCAACGUCAUGAAGAAGCUGUUGCCGCGGGUCAGGAACCUCCUUUUGGUGGUCGUUAUGCUCCACCCUCAGUCCCGGGUGUUUCACGUCCACUUAGUACUACCGUUUCAGGCGGCACAAAUAAACCUAAGGAUGAGGUGUGGUCAGCGGAACCUUCGUCUUCACCGUCCAAGGAUGCUUAAAGUCCUCCUUGAUAAUAACCAAUGGAUGGCUUGUUGUAUUGUAUCAUGUUGUUUGGGACUUUAAUUUAAAUAUGUGUAUUUGGAUCUUCAUGUUGUUGUAUUGUACCAUGUUGUUUGGAUCUUUAAUCGAUUUUCACGCGUAAUCCAUUGUCAAGUGUAAUCCAUUUUCAUGCGUAAUACGAUGCAGAUGGACCGGCAAUGGAUGUAUAAUGCAGACACGCGGAGCAAGGCGUUUAUUGAUGGCUUGCAUUAUUUUCUCGAAGUGGCAAAAGCGAACAAGCCAGAGAAUGGGUUCGUAUGUUGUCCAUGCUUCCAAUGCAAUAACAGGAAGGAGUAUUCAAAGGAUUCCUGGGGGACUAUUCACAGCCACUUGUUUAAAUACGGUUUUAUGCCUAACUAUUUGGUUUGGACCAAGCACGGUGAACUAGGGGUUGUAGUGGAAGAUGGCGAGGAGGAGGAGGAAGAUCACACCAUUCCGGACUGGGUUGCAGGCCAAGCUUUUGCAGGUACUACAAUGGGCGAGGCUGAUGAAGAUGAGUUUGCGAAAAAUGGCCCUACUGAUGACCUUGGUCAGGUGAUACGAGAUGCAUACAGAGAUUGCGAAACUGAGAAGGAAGCAGCAAAGUUGCAGUGCAUGAUAGAUGAUCACCAAAAAUUGUUGUACCCAGGUUGCCAGCAGGGCCAUAAAAAACUAGGUACGACACUAGAAUUUGUGCAAUGGAAGGCAAAAAAUGGUGUGUCUGAUAAGGCAUUUCAGGGGAUGUUGAACAUUGUCAAGAAGAUUCUCCCCGAGAAUAAUGAAUUACCGUCCACAACAUAUGAAGCUAAACAGAUUAUUUGCCCUCUCGGAUUGGAUGUUCAGAAGAUACACGCAUGCCCUAAUGACUGUAUCCUCUAUCGUGGUGAUGAAUAUGAGAAAUUGGAUGCUUGUCCCGUCUGCGAAGCCCUGCGGUAUAAGAUCAGGCGAGAUGAUCCUGGUGAUGUCGAGGGGCAGUCUCUCAAGAAGAGAGUUCCCGCGAAGGUGAUGUGGUAUUUCCCUAUAAUACCACGCUUGAAGCGCUUGUUCAGGAAAAAGACGAAUGCUAAGUUGAUGCGAUGGCACAAAGAAGACCGUAAGGAAGAUGAGAUGCUGAGACACCCCGCAGAUGGGGCACAGUGGAGAUCAAUUGAUAGAACAUUCCCAGACUUUGAAUGUGAAGCAAGGAACAUAAGGUUUGGUUUAAGCACUGAUGGAUUCAAUCCAUUCGGUGAGUUGAGUAGUGGCCAUAGUACUUGGCCUGUGACCCUUUGUAUGUUCAACCUUCCUCCUUGGCUGUGCAUGAAGCGGAAGUUCAUUAUGAUGCUGGCGCUUAUCCAAGGCCCAAAACAACCCGGCAACGACAUUGACGUGUACCUAAGGCCGUUGGUUGAUGACCUUUUACAGCUCUGGAAGGAAGAAGGUGUACGUGUGUGGGAUGAGGAUAGACAAGAGAUCUUUAAUCUAUGAGCACUGUUGUUCGUAACCAUCAACGAUUGGCCUGCAUUGAGUAACCUUUCAGGACAGACAAAUAAGGAAUAUCGGGCAUGCACCCACUGUUUAGACGACACAGACAGCAUGUACUUGAAGCACUGUAAGAAGGUCGUCUAUAUGGGUCAUCGUCGAUUUCUCCCUGCUCACCACCAGCUGAGAAAGAGCAGGAUGCAUUUCAAAGGGGCGCCAAACCAUCGUAAAAAACCUGCACACCGUAAUGGAAAGCGUGUGUUUGAGAUGAUGAAGGAUGUAAAUGUAGUCUUUGGAAAGGGACUUGGUAGCCAACCUGUUCCGAACGACGAUAACGGACAUGCACCCAUGUGGAAGAAAAAGUCAAUAUUUUGGGAGCUACCUUAUUGGGAAAUCCUAGAGGUUCGCAACGCAAUAGACGUGAUGCACCUGAUGAAGAAUCUUUGCGUGAACGUGCUAGGCUUCAUGGGUGUUUAUGGAACCUCAAAAGAUACAUUGGAAGCACGACAGGACCUGAAAGCCAUGGGGCAACGAGAUGACCUACAUCCGGAAAAGAGAGAUAAUGGACAGCACUACUUACGUCCUGCCAGUUACACUCUCAGCAAGGAAGAGAAGGAUAGCAUGUUUGAAUGCUUGAAUAGUAUGAAGGUCCCGUCUGGGUACUCCUCGAAUAUAAAGGGAAUAAUAAAUAUGAAACAAAAGAAGUUUACAAAUCUCAAGGCUCAUGACUGCCACAUGUUGAUGACCCAGUUGCUUCCGGUUGCACUGAGGGGUGUUCUACCAGAAAAUGUCCGGUUGCCGCUCGUAAAGCUAUGCGCGUUUCUCAAUGCGAUUUUGCAGAAGGCAAUCGAUCCAUCCAAGCUAUCAAAGCUACAGAACGAUGUGGUGCAAUGUCUUGUCAGUUUUGAGUUGUUAUUUCCACCAUCCUUCUUCAAUAUUAUGACGCACUUACUGGUUCACCUAGUAAAAGAGAUUGGUAUUCUCGGACCUGUAUACCUGCACAAUAUGUGGCCUUUCGAGAGGUUCAUGGCAGUCCUAAAAAACUAUGUUCUUAAUCGUGCCCGUCCAGAAGGAAGCAUCGCCAAGGGAUAUGGAACAGAGGAGGUGAUCGAGUUUUGUGUUGAUUUUAUUGAUUCAAUUGACUCGAUUGGGGUUCCAGCUUCACGCCACGAGGGGAGGCUCCAAGGAAUGGGCACCCUUGGAAGGAAAUCAAGUUUGAGCAAUGAUACUGAUUUGUUCGACAAGGCACACUACACUGUUCUACAACAGUCAUCCUUUGUGUCUCAGUAUAUCGAGCAGCACAGGCAGAUGGUAGGUUCCAAAAACCCGACCAAAUCCGAUGCUUGGCUUACCCGUCAUCACAUGGAAACUUUUCCCUCCUGGUUGCGCCAACAACUUAUGGGUAACUCUGAGAUUCACCCACAACUUGCCUGGUUAGCCAGGGGACCUGCUACCACAAUCGUCAAAUUCCAAGGCUAUGAGAUAAAUGGUUACACAUUUUACACGAGAGCCCAGGACCAGAAAAGCAUGAACCAGAAUAGUGGUGUCCGCAUAGAUGCCAUGGACAGAAAUAAUAGCAAGGAGUCGUAUUAUGGUUUCAUACAGGAGAUAUGGGAACUCGAAUACGGACCGCUGUACAUCCCUCUAUUUCUUUGCAAUUGGGUGAAGCUAACUACCGUCACCAAAGAUCAGUACGGAAUGACAAUAGUAGAUCUGAGCAAGACUGGAUACAGUGAUGACCCAUUCGUACUUGCCAAUGAUGUGCAUCAGGUGUUCUAUGUGAAGGACAUGUGCAGCAAACCCAAGAGGAAUCCAGAAGAGACAUGGGAGCCAAAGUGCCACAUAGUUCUUCCAGGUAAAAGAAAAAUCGUGGGAGUCGAGGAUAAAACAGACCAAUCAGAUGAUUAUGAUCAGUUUGAUGGCAUGCCUCCAUUCGCCGUUGAAGUUGAUCCAAGCAUCCUGCUAUCCAAAUAAGAGGCUCCGUACUUACGCCGCGAUCAUGAUCAAGGAACUUUCGUGAAGAAGAAAUUUUACAACAUUGUAUUGUAAUGCGUUAAAUGUACAUGAUCUUUGUGUAUUAAUUGAUACAAUUUGUAAUUUACCCUAUGUAUGAUUUCAUGUCUUCUUAAAUUUCUUAGGUGAAGAUUUUAUAGAUAAACAUGAACAAUGUUAACCACAAACAAACAUGGAUUUUUUUGCGCAUUGAAAUUAUUUAAUUGAAUAAUUUCUUGAUCACAACAAUGCAGUAAAAUAAAUAUUUUAGAGGCUAAAUGAACUGGUAUAGAAUUCAUGAUUAAUUCAUACUUAUUGUCAAUUUACUCGUUAAUUAAAUAUAUUUUUGCAUGUACAAAAUCUGUGAAGGUUUUGUUUUUCAUCCUGAAAUGCAGUGAAAAGAUAAAAUAAAAUCCAUUUCCAAAAAAUAGGCGGGAGAAGAAAAGUAGGAAAAAAGACCUUUUGUCUCGGGUGCUAACAGCAACCGGGACAAAAGGCCCCCCUUUUAUCCCGGUUGCAAACUGCAACCGGGAUAAAAGGGUACUUUUCGUCUCCCGCCCCGACGUACCCUUUUAUCCCGGUUGCCAACUGCAAUCGGGAUAAAAGGCCCCCCCUUUUAUCCCGGUUGGUGGUGGCACCUGGGAUAAAAGGGUACGCUCCCAGCCCUACCUGGCGGGGGCACCCUUUUGUACCGGGUCCCGUCACCAACCGGGAUAAAAGGCAACCGGGAUAAAAGGCCUUUUAUCCCGGUUGGUGACGGGACCCGGGACAAAAGGCCCUUUUGUCCCGGGUGGCAUUACGAACCGGGAUAAAGGGGGGGGGGGUUAAAAGGCACUGUACUCCCUUCUACCCCCCGCCAGUUACACUUAGCCAAAUUUUCGCCUAGUCCCGCGCGUUCUCCGCCGUCGCCGCCCGUCCGCCUCCCUCGCCGGCCGCCGCCGUCGUCGUCCCCCAUUGCACCGUCGACGUCCCCCAUUGCGCCGUCGUCGUCCCCCGGCCGGCCUGCCUCGAUCCCCUCCUCGUCCGUCGACGCGCCCGGCCCCCGGCCGCCUCGUCGCCUCCGGCCACCGGCUCCAUCCUCGUCGCCGGCUGCAUCCUCGUCGCCCCUCGUCGCCCCUCGUCGCCGUCUCGUCGCCGUCCCACCUACGCCACCCGGCCGCCGCCGUCCCGCCGCCCCGGCCGCCGCCCCGCGCGCGAGAGGUCCGCCGCCGCGCCGGCCGGCAGCGCCGGGAGGGUUUUUUUUUUAAGUUAGAAAAUUAAGUUAUAUUUUUAUGAUAGAUUUUUAAUUUUGAUUGUUAAGCUAGAAAAUUAAGUUAUAUUUUUAAGUUAGAUUUUUUAGUUAGUUUGUUAAGUUAGAUUUUUAAGUUAGAAAAUAAAGUUAGAAAUUCGUAGGAUGCACCGCCGUCCCCUCCGCCGUCCUGCCGCCGUGACCGCCGCCGUCCCGCCGCCCGUCACAACCUAGUAGACACCGCCCGUGGUUCCGGGGAACCGUCCCCGCCUCCGCCGUACCGCCGCCGUGAUCGCCGCCCGUCACAACCUAGUAGGCACCGCCCGUGGUUCCGGGGAACCGUCCCCGCCUCCGUCGUACCGCCGCCCUCAGUGCCGCCGUCACAACCUAGGCAGCGCCCGUGGUUCCAGGGAACCAUCCCCGCCUCCGCCGCCCUGAUCGCCGCCGUUACAACCUAGGCACCGCACGUGGAUAUUGUUAGAAAUUCGUAGAAAUUCAUAGAAAUUCGUAGAAAUUCGUCAAAAUUCGUAGAAAUUCGUAGAAAUUCAUAGAAAUUUGUAGAAAUUCAUAGAAAUUUGUAGAAAUUUGUCAAAAUUCGUAGAAAUUCGUAGAAAUUCGUAGAAAUUUGUAUAAAUAUUCCGGACUUUGUAGGAUUCAUGUUAUUUUAUGAUUUCAUUAUAUACAUUAUGAUUCCGGACUUUGUAGGACUUUGUAGAAAUUUGUAGUAAGAUGAUUUCUAUGACUGUCAUGUAUGAUUCCAUGUAUGUUUCCAUCAAUAGUUGAAAUGGCAGACGAUGAGACCGCAAGGUAUAUCAUGGAGCAGAUAAUCGCUGGUGAUGGUAGUGGCGACAACAUUCCACUAUCAUACAUGGAUGAAGAGGGCACCCAGGCGGACAUGUUCCUCAACAUGUCCGCCGAUGGGAAUGAAGAGCAACAGCCGCAGCAACAACUUGCCGUGGUGGAAGGUUCCGGCGAGGUAUAUGUUGGCGCUAGAAAUCGGUCAACCGAAUCCCAGCGACCGACACACGACCCGGGAGAAUCUGCUUAGCUCCUGUUCGGGUGAAUGCCCUGGUGCAGUUCGCGCAGCGUGCCAGCCAAUCUGACCUGUUGAUUGGCAAGGAAGAAUACGUGUCAGGUCCAGAAAUCACGAUCGGCUAAGUUUCCGAUCGAGAGAAUUUAUCAACGAAUCGGCCGAUUUACUGUAGUAAUGAAAUCGGCUAUAAGACAGCCUGAUCUCUGUAGCCUUGUAGACAAGGAAUUACUAAAGUAAUCGAUACAAAGCUAUGAUAACAACACUAGGAACAGAUCUAAUCGGCAAUAGAUGAAUUUAAUAACAGAAUAUAGAAAGAGCCGAAACUACCGAUUCCUAGCUGGAUAACUGGUGAUAAAGACUAGAAAAAUAGGUAAAACCUAUGGAUCUAGCAAAUAUCGAUAACUAGUGAAUAUAUCUAAACGAAACAACAGCGAUACGCCCGAAGUUAAAGCUUAGAUAUUACUCGAUAAACGGAACUUACAGAAUCGGCCGGAGAUCAAGAUGAUGCAGCCCUGCCAACCCGCAUGAACUCGUGAGAAGAGAAAAGUAAUGGCGAAGUCGCCUGCUUGAAAGUAAGUACGAAGAAAAAGUAGCUUGUUGUAUUGAUUGGUUGAUGAUUACAGAUUUACAAAGGUAGCUAUUUAUAGCCCCAUACAGAUAUCUUCUUAACCGACUAGAAUUCUAUCCCUAAUUCAAACAGAAAACGAAUAUCUACAAGCAUGAUUCGUGCUAGGUUAGUUACUCCACGCUUCGUGGGCUGAUUUCCAGCUCACCCUUCUAUUCCAAGCCCAUACAGGCCCAAUUAACCCAUCCUCCUAAUCGGCCGAUUCCUCAUCGGCAAAAGGCUACCGAUUGGGACUCUGGUAUAUUCGACCCGAAACGAGACAGAAGUCACCGGCCGAUCUCACACUGUAGCACCACUUGGCCGAUUCCCAAUUGUGCUCCUCCGAUUCCCUCUCUUCUUGGCGCCGAUUCUACUAGUGACGAAAUCUGGCGUCAACACAUGCCCCCCAGUUUCGGAGUAAAACAUAGUCUUUUACUUCGAAAUUCUUUAUAACCUCCCUUCCGAAACGGCCGCAGUGAAAAUAUCCCUCCGUUUCGCGGUCUUCCAGCUGAUCAUUGCAAUUUUUCGAAACGGGCGCCCACGACAGCCACUACUCCCGAAAAACUCGAAACGCCGGCGCGGUGAAAAUUCCAUUUUUACCCCCCUUCAGGCAUCCUUUAAAUAGCGCUUCACCCGCACCUCAUCUUCAAGCUCACGUCUCUUUUCCCAGUGCGCGCGCCUUCUUCCUCCUUCAGCAUCUUUCCCUUGCCGCCGAAGCUUCCUAGCUCCACCUCCUGUUACUCUUCCCUCUUCUCUUUCAAUGGCGGCUCCUUCCGGCAGCUCUCCCGCAUGCGAUGUCCCAGAGGUAGCGCCUCCGGCGGUGGUAGCGACAGCCGUCGCUCCAUCCACAGAAGAAGGAGCUUCAUCGGAGAUCCCAAUGGCGAUCCCCAUCACGGCCCCGUUGUCCGCAUCCGCACCGGCAACCACGCCGAUCACUCAGAACUUCAUCCCAGAGGUAAAUACCGAAUCCUUCUCCUAUCGGCAAUUAAUUUACCUUAGAUCUGUUUCUUACUUUUUACACCCCCUUUUCCUUUUUUAGGCAGUUAGGCAUCGCAUUACCAUUCACCUUACGGGAAAUCCCGGCCUUAUUUGUCUCGGACCUAUGGGAAACCCAGAUCCAAUAGAGCUUAUUAAUUUGGAAACCCACAGGAUACCCUUCAAACUGUCUAAUAUGGACUUAGAUCAGUGGCUGGGUACUUUUAGAUCUUGGCCGAAUGAAACCCCAGGUUGGAGGGAGUGGUACCAAUGGAUAGCCGCAUCAAAGAGCGUCUCAUGGGAAGAGCUCAAAAUCGGCCAGUGCAUCAACCUUUCCUUAUCCCAGAUGGAGAAAAAUGAGCCGUUAGUAAUGGCGGCUUCUUAUUUUUGGUCUGAUGCACUUAAUGCCUUCUUAUUUGGGCACGGUCCUAUGACCCCAACACUGGCCGAUGUGGUCCUGUUGACCGGCCUCGACAUAUCCUCCCCGGACACACCCUAUCACCUUUUAACCACAACGUCACAUCGGCUGGACACAAGGGGAAUCGGCGGGUGGAAGGGUUUCAUCAAAAGUAAUAAGAGGACCGGGACUGUUGAGAAUAGGGAGCACACAGCUUUCCUGAUGAUGUGGCUAGAAAAGCACUUCUUUUGCGGAAGAGCCGCCGGCCCGACAACCAAUACCCAGGCCUUAGCUGAAGCACUGUCCAAGGGAAACCAUGUCCCUCUUGGGAAACAUCUGCUAGGGGCCGCGUACCACAUGCUACAUCAAAUCGGCAUAAGACUAUCCAAGGGAGAGCCGAUCGGCAAUCAAGGCGGGCCCUGGUGGUUCAUCAACUUGUGGUUGAACCUUUAUAUGAGCAGAAUUACUCAGCAGCCGGUGGAUCGCAUGACGUUCCCCAACAUCGAAUCGGUAGAAGACCCUACCGAACGUCGCCGAUGUAUGUCCUUUGGUGAAGCGGCAUCGGCUUUUCCAGGUUGCAUGUAUUCUGCUACAAAGGUAGCCGAGUACUUUCGAUGCUUCUAUAAUGGCUUUAGUGAAGAUGCAACCAUUUGGUUUCCGUAUUAGCGAGACGACCCGGUCUUUGAACUCCCCACUUGCUUCGAUUCGGCUUCCGGCCGAUUUGAUAUAGAGCUCUAUGAUGAGUUGAUCAAGCCAGGGCUCCUGCCAGCCAAUUUCUUCUCGGGGAAGGAUGCCCCUACGUACGAAUUCUACAACCCCUCCGCUGCAGCACGUCAAUUCGGCAUGGGUCAGCUGCCGAUUCAAGUGUACUUUGCUGGCCGAAUCAAGUUUAGGGAUGAGCUCACAUCUGGUCUGGAUUACAGUUGGUUACGAGACCGAAUCCCGGACUCCAGUACAAUUGACCUGAACGACUGGCUAGUAGCUCCCUUUGCUGUUCAGCCGUUCAAACUCUGGUGGGCCGAUUGGAAGCAAUUUCUUUUCUGCAACUCGGCAUCGGCAUACUGCAACCUUCUGGACCCAGCCAACAUCGACCCGAACGUCGAGGUAUUUCACUUAGCCAAUUUUUAUUCCUCUCAACAUGACUAAGCACUAAUGAUUUUAUUAUCUUUUCAGGCCGAGAAUCGAACUCCUCCAACACACAGCCGCAGCGGACGGCUAAUAGAAAGUCACCCAUACACAACUUAUCCUCUUAUCGGCUAUGACGCUCCGUCUGUUGACGUGAUUGCUGGCCGAUCAAAACAAGUCCAUAAGAGGACUACCAAGAAAACCAUUCGCCGAGUCCGAGCUCGUGUAGAAUCGGCAGAUCCCCCUGUGCUCGUAUCGGCAAAGACCCUGGCCGCACCACCUUCUCAGGUCAUCCAAGAUGCCGAUACCCAAGCCGUUGCGCAAGCUGGAACAGCCGCCGCGUCGUUGUUGUUGGAGGCCAUACAGGUAAACCUGAAUUUUACUGCUUCCGAUUGUUAUUCUGAUAUUAACCCUUCUUAUCCUUAGACUGCACAGAGCACCCCUAUGGAAAUACAACAAUCGGCAGCAACUCAACCAGCCAUCGGCGCGCCCCCGCUUUCAUCCGUUGAGGUAUAGUACUAUUUUACUGAUUUCCUUUGGUAUUUGCAUAAUGUACUUAUUCAAUCCUCUGACACAGGCCAUCGGCACACCAAGCGCUCCUCGACAACCGAUCUCUUCUCAGGGAGCUGGUCCAAGCACCGCGCCGAUUAUUGUGGAAUCUUCUUCAUCCGAUGAACCUAUGGCGCAGGCUCCUGAGCAAGGCGUGACGGCUUCACAAGUGCAGCAUGAGGAAAUUCGCUUCAAAAUGGUAAGUUUUGUUUCGGCUUCUAUCCAGCCGAUUUGCUUUUACUUCCAGCCGAUUUAUUUCUUUUCUUUAUUAUCUCCAGGAACAGGACACCCCCGACAACAGCCUCUUUUCUUUUGCGGUCGCCCUUUCCGACGACGAAGAGGUUGCCUCUCGCCAAGUUGCCUUGAGCUCCGUCCCUGAUGACAUCCGAGCCAAACUUUCCAGCAUCCGAUCCCUCCUUCAAGGGGACAUCGGUCGACUAGUAGAAGAUGCUUCAUCGAUUCGGCAGCUCUUCAAUGACAUCAGCGGACGAGUACCAGAAGAGGCGGAGGAAGCCCUGGCACCAGCGGCCUUCAUCGAGUCUAUGAGGAUCCCAGUCUUCAGGGCUCUUCGUCAUAUGGCCGAUCAUGCCAAGCUUGCCAAGACUCGUGAAGAGGAGGACGCGUUCAAGCGUCAGGCUCAAGAGGCACAUCGGCGCAUCCAUGUUCUGGAAGAUUCUCGCCCGGCGAUCAUCGGUGAGAUAGACCGCCUCAAGCGUCGGAGGGCGGAACUUGCCAAGGAGAUGGAGCAAGUGACUAAAGCAAUCAGUGCCGAAGAGAAAAAACUCCAAGAGCUACCUUCUGUCAUUGCCGAUUUGACACGGGAGAGGCAGCGCUUUGCUCAUGAGGCCCUAAAGCUCCAUUGCAGUACAUCAGAAGUCCCCGGAUCGGCAGAUGAAGACCAACGGGUUCUUGACUCUGCCGAUCAGAUCCGGCGCCGGGCUAUCACAGCUAUCGAUACCCUUCUGGGUAAUCUGUAAAACACUGACCGUUUGUCCGAACAUUUACUAUCUUCUUUGACCGUCCCUCGCGACGCCCUUUCUAUUUAUUACCUUUCUUAUUUCCGAUGGGACGUAGCCUUACCAAAUUUCCACGCAUCUUUUUCCAUAAAUACCGACCUCGGCACUUACUCCCGAUAGUACCAAUUUGGCUUUCGGUUUUACUCUCUCCUUCCUCUUACCGGUGCGACUUUCUGCCAUGGCUUCGUCGGCUUCUUCUUCCUCUGUUAACCAGGUGCAAUCUUGCCCUCUACCUCCCCCUCUUUUUAGAUCCUAGGAAAAGAAUGUCCCUUCUUAUUCCUUCUUUGUUUCAGCCUCAACGUCUUAGCCCUGCGCUCGUGCGCGCCAUUGAGCUCAUUCACUCUGAGGACCCAUUGACGUCGGAGGAUAAGGCGCUGAUCCUGGCCCAUCGUGAGGAACUUCGAGAUCACGUCACUGCGGAGGCUCGUGUGGUCUUGGAUCUCAUGGAGAGUGACAGUAGCCGACGAUCUCCAACCAUCAGGAGCCUUCAUUGUGGCGGCCUUGAAGACGAUGUUGCCACGGCGGCCCGUACGAUUUUGGACUUUAUGGAGAGCAAUGGUAGCCGGCGACCUCCCACCGAUAGGAGCCAUCCGCUUCCUCAGCAAGUCGUUCUCGAAGACGCAGCGGCAGGAACUUCGCGCCCUCCCAUGGAUCGGAGUCAUUUUCUCCCUCGUCAAGUUGAAGCGGAGACUUCAAUGAAGGCAAUAGAAGAAGAAUACCUUCACGUCAUGAGCGAGUUGGAGCGGAACGGGAAGGCGCCCAAGAAGAAGAACAAUUAGUUUUUUGUAUUUUUUGUUCUAAGGGCGACUAAUGUUUUGUCGGCCAUGUAACCCGCCGUCCGUACCGAAUGAAUGCAAUCGGCCGAUCCGGUCGACUAUGUGUUUGAACCGAUUUGUAUUGGCUAUGCGUUUGAACCAAUUUGUAUCGGCUAAGUGUUUGAACCGAUUUGUACCGGUUAUGUGUGGUCGUGUUAUGGUCAAUUUCCUACGCUCCGACCCAUAUACUGGGGUAGUAUCUUUUUAAGUACCUUCCGUUCAGAGCUCUAGUAAAUUCCUCUCCUUCUAUUGUUUCCAAAAUGUAAGCAUUUCCUGGGGCGCAUCUGCCGAUUUUGUACGGCCCUUCCCAUGUAGGGGACCAUUUUCCGAAUUUAGGAUCCUUCGACCCAAUCGGCAAUACUAACUUCCAUACUAAGUCCCCAGGGGAGAAUUGUUUGGCUUUGACCUUUUUAUCGUACCACCUGGCUACCCUCUUUUUAUUUUCUUCAAUGCUUAUCAGAGCCCUCAAUCGUUGGCCAGCCAAAUCGUCAAGUUCCCUUUUCAUAAGUGACGAGUAAUCAUCGGCCGUUAACUGGUCCUGGAGCGAAAUACGCCUUGAUCCCGCCCUUGACUCCCAUGGCAGUACCGCAUCGUGACCGUACACCAAUUGGUAGGGAGAUAACUUGGUAGCCCCAUGACAAGCCAUCCGGUACGCCCAUAAGGCCUCUGUCAAACAUAGAUGCCACUUCUUCGGUUGUUCCUCGACUUUUCUUUUGAUCAAUUUGAUUAUCCCUUUAUUGGAGGAUUCCGCCUGACCAUUGGCUUGGGCGUAGUAUGGAGAAGAAUUUAACAAUUUGAUUCCCAUAUUGGUCGUAAAUUCCUCAAAUUUCCCUGAUGUGAACAUUGUUCCUUGAUCGGUUGUUAUAGUCUGAGGGAUACCGAAUCGGUAAACGAUGUGGUCCCUUACGAAGUCAGCCAUGAUAGCCGAUGUCACGGUUCUCAACGGGAUAGCCUCUACCCAUUUGGUAAAGUAAUCAGUAGCCACCAGAAUAAAUUUGUGCCCUUUGCUUGAUGGUGGGUAAAUUUGGCCAAUAAGGUCUAUUCCCCAUCCCCUGAACGGCCAUGGCUUAAUGAUGGGAUUCAUGGCCGAUGCGGGUGCACGCUGGACAUUUCCAAACUUUUGGCACUCCUGACAGCCCUUAUAAUAUUUGAAACAGUCUUUGAGGAUCGUUGGCCAGUAGUACCCAUUAUUCCUGAUCAUCCACUUCAUCUUAUGCGCCGAUUGGUGUGCUCCACAUACCCCCUCAUGGAUUUCUCCCAUCAGCGUCUUGGCCUCCUCUGUCCCAAGGCAUUUGAGAAGAACUCCGUCGAUCGUUCGGUAGAAUAGGUCAUCUUCGAGCAGCACGUAUUUGGUGGCAUGAAAACGUACUCGUCGCUCCACCUUUUUAGACGGAUCCUUCAGGUAGUCGGCAAUUUCUUUACGCCAGUCAUCGGCCGUGAGCUCUAGAGCCAUAGUGCCUAGAAUUAGCCGAUACCCAGACGCAUGCUGGGCAAGUUUGUUGGCGUCUUCGUUGCGGUCUCUUGGGAUGUGCUCGAUUACUGCCGAUCGGAAUUCUUUUAAAAGCUGUAAGCAAUCUUCGUAAUAAUUUCUUAAUACGUCAUCUUUGCAUUCGGACCUUCCGGUCAGUUGAUCCACAAUAAGCAUAGAAUCUCCGAAGACUUCAACGGAAUCGGCCUUGACUUCUCUCAAUAGUUGUAAGCCUUUUAAUACAGCUCGGUACUCCGCUUGAUUGUUAGUAGCGGCGGUUUCUAUCGGCAGAGAAAAAUCAUAGCUUGCCCCCCGAGGCGAUAUGAGAACGAUGCCGAUUCCUGAUCCGACCCCACAUGAUGACCCGUCAAAAUAUAAUGUCCAAGGUGCCAGCUCUACGAGGGCAAUCUCCGGUCUGCAGUGCUGGGCGACGAAAUCGGUCAUGACUUGACCCUUGACGGCUUUUGCCGAUUCAUACCGCAGGUCAAACUCUGAUAAAGCUAAGAUCCAUUUGCCGAUUCGACCUUUCAAUAUCGGCAGUGAUAGCAUGUAUUUUACUACGUCAUCUUUGCAUACGACUACACAUUCUGCCGACAGUAGAUAGUGCCUGAGUUUGGUGCAUGAGAAGUAAAGACAUAGGCAUAAACGCUCCACCGGAGGAUAUCUUGUUUCAGCAUCCAGAAGUCUUCUACUGACAUAAUAAAUUACCCGCUCCUUGCCUUCAAACUCCUGGACUAGAGCCGAUCCAAUAGCUUUUUCAUCGGCUGAUAAGUAUAGUUUAAACGGCUUACCAGUUUGAGGGGGAACCAACACUGGUGGUGAGACCAAGUAUUGCUUGAUAUCUUCCAAUGCUUUGCGCUGCUCUUCUCCCCAUAUAAAUUCCUGGUCUGGCUUUAGCUUCAGAAGUGGCGUGAACGCCUGAAUCCGUCCAGAUAGAUUAGAUAUAAAUCUUCUGAUGAAAUUCACCUUGCCGAUUAGAGACUGCAGUUCGGUUUUGUUCUGUGGGGCCACGACUUUGUUGAUGGCCGCUAUGGUCUUCCGAUUGAUCUCUAUGCCUCGUUCGUGUACCAUGAAUCCUAAGAACUGUCCGGCGGAUACGCCGAAAGCACAUUUGUUGGGAUUCAUCUUAAGACCAUGUUUUUUGGUACACUCUAGCACUUUUCGCAAAUCGGCCAGAUGUUCUUCGUGACCUUUAGACUUGACCACGACAUCAUCGAUGUAGAUUUCUACCAGAAGGCCAAUGAGUUUGUGAAAUAUGUAAUUCAUAGCUCUCUGAUAUGUAGCGCCAGCGUUCUUCAAGCCGAAAGUCAUCACCACCCACUCGAACAAACCAAGGUGGCCUGGACAUCUGAAGGCCAUUUUGGGUAUAUCCUCUUCGGCCAUAAGUAUUUGAUUGUAUCCGGCGUUUCCGUCCAUGAAGCUAAUGAUUUUAUGCCCCGCGGCCGCGUCGAUCAGUACAUCGGCCGUUGGCAUGGGGUAACCAUCCAUCGGUGUGGCCUGAUUAAGAUUCCUGAAAUCAACGCAAACGCGUAGCUUCCCAUUUUUCUUGUAUACUGGUACGAUGUUAGAAAUCCACUCGGCAUAACGACAUUGCCGAAUAAAUUUUGCUUCGAUUAGCCGAGUUAUUUCAGCUUUUAUGUCUGGUAGAAUUUUAGGAUUGCAACGCCGUGCGGGUUGUUGGUACGGCCGAUACCCUGGUUUUAUGGGUAGCCGAUGUUCAACAAUGGAUCGGUCUAAACCGGGCAUCUCGUGAUACUCCCAAGCAAAACAAUCCUUAAAUUCCUUUAAUAAAUUUGUCAAUUUACACUUGUACUCUGGAUCUAAAUUUGCACUAAUAUAAGUCGGCCUUGGUUUGGUACCAUCGCCUAAAUCUAUCAUUUCCAAUGAAUCGGCCGACGUGAACCCAUGCCCUAGCUUCCCAUCUUCUCAGGCGAACUGAUCCAUCUAUUCUGAAUCUUCGGAGCCGACUGCUCGGAUCGGCUGUAGGCCAAAAUCGGUGACCUUCAGGAAAUCGAUCUCCCAUACUCUACCUGAUAUGCACCUGACGGUUUCGCAACUCCACUGCUGCGUGUCGGCUGCCGCAAUGCUGUAUGCGGAGUCGGCUUUGACCACCUCGAUGUUAUCGCCGACCCAUUGUACGAGGCACUGAUGCAUUGUUGACGGGAUGCAGCAGUUUGCGUGUAUCCAGUCUCGGCCAAGUAGCAUAUUGUAGGAUCCCUUGCCAUUAAUAAUAAAGAAGGUGGUAGGAAGGGUCUUACUGCCGAUGGUGAGGUCGACGCAGAGAGCACCGCGAGCGUUUGAUACCUUGCCCUUGAAGUCCUUGAGCAUCAUGUCUGUCUUGGUCAAGUCGUCGUCGCUUUUCCCAAGUUUCCGGAGUACGGCGUACGGCAUGAUGUUGACUGCAGCUCCUCCGUCUACCAUCAAUCUAGUGAGGGGACGGCCAUCAACAUGCCCCUUAAGGAACAGCGCCUUCAUAUGUUGUCGUUCGUCAUCUUCGGGCUUUUCGAACAUGGCCAUCAUUGGCUCCAGGGCCAACUGCGCUGUCUGUUCUUCUAUCGCCGAUACAUCCUGUUGAUCGGCGGGAGUCAUGAAUUCCAUCGGCAAAAUGAAAACCAUGCCGAUCUCGGCCGCCGAUUCGUCCCCCGCCGACUCGUCGUUCCCUUUAUCAUUUCUUUUGGGGCGCCACACCCGAGGCCUUCCUUCCUUCUUGUCUGUCACGCUUUCUUCUUCUUGCUGUUCCAAUUGGCGGAGACGUUGGAUUCUUUGUUUUUGAGACUUGGUCAAUCCGUCGGGACACCACCUGGGGUUUAUUGGUCUUCCCCUUGACCUGGCGCGUUCCCACUCCGGUUCGCGUCCUAACGGGUUUUCAUCUGUCACCCGAGCAUCGGCCAUCUCUUUGAGCCGGCUGUGAACGCUGGCUUUGUUGUCCGACUGGUCAUGCCGAUCAGUCCUGCCCCUCUGCCUAUCAUGGCGUCUAUCUUCCGAUCGAUCAUAUCGGUCACUUCUGCCCCCCAGCCGAUCACGCACGGGAGGGCGCUGGUCAUCUUGGUUGCGCCAAUUCUUGCUGGUCGGUUCUGGCCUUCCAUCUCUGGAGCGAGACCCUUUGAACGGCCGAUUGCCACGAUAAGGACCGUUGCAUUCUGGGCAAGUAUCGGCUGAAGGUAGCCUGAGGUUGUGUUCCCAACAGUGAAUGAAGAACGGGCAUCUCAAGUGCUCCUCGUGCCGACGCAUUGCUUCUUCUCGGGACCUUGAGCGUUCAUGCUGACGUUGGUACUUCUGGAGCAGGAACUGGGAAGUAAUGCGUGGCCCUUCUGACUCACCAUCGUCGUCCUCUAUCCGCCGCUUCCCCUUGACAUCUUCAGGAGUAGCUUGAUUUCUGGGAUCGACGGCGCCACUCUUUUUGGCUAAUUCGGACGUCAGCACUUUUGUUUGGAGUGAAUUCUUCCCUGUAUCAACCAUGUUGGUAGGAAAGGGGUGUUGGUCAAUCUUCAUUGGCUUGGCCGAUUUUGCCGGCACUUCAAAUUUAAGUCUGCCUUGCUCAAUGGCCGACUGUAUCUGCUGCCUGAAGAUUUUGCACUCGUUGGUAUCAUGGGAUGUGGCAUUGUGCCACUUGCAAUACUUCAUCUUUUUUAGUUGUUCGGCAGAAGGUAUUGUAUGGUACGGCGAGAGUUUAAUCUACCCUUCCUGGAGGAGAAGGUCGAAGAUUUUAUCGGGCCUUAGUUGUGUCAAAACCGAACACUUCCGGAUCCUUUUUGCCGAAUGGGCAUGAUAUCGGCUUCUUCCCUUUGAUCCACUCCGCAAGUCCGACUUCAACAUCUUCCUCAUCCUCUAACUCUUCCAGGAACGCCACUUUCUUUUGGAAAUUCCUCCGCGGAUCAAAAGGACGUACCUCCUGUCCAAACAAUCGGUGAACAAUCUGGCUCAGACUUUCGAACUCUUGUGAAGCGUAUCUUUCUUUGAUGUGGGGCAGAAGGCCUUGAAAAGCUAUAUCGGCCAACUGUGCAUCGGUUAGAGCCAGGGAGUAGCACUUGUUUCUGAUUUCCCGAAACCUCUGUAUGUACGAGGAUAUCGGCUCAUCACUCCUUUGCCUGAGGCUGGUCAAAUCGGACAGCUUCAUCUCAUGCACCCCGGCAUAGAAGUAUUUGUGGAACUGUCUUUCUAAAUCGGCCCAUGUGAUAAUCGAGUUUGGCGGCAAUGUCGUGAACCAUUGAAAGGCUGAACCAGACAGAGAUGACGAGAACAACCGUACCCGUAGGGCGUCUUGCGUAGCUGCUUCUUCGCAUUGGAUGAUGAAUCUAUUCACGUGCUCUACGGUCGAAGUAUCAUCCAUCCCCGAAAAUUUAGUGAAGUCAGGAACUUUAUACCGAUGGGGGAACGGCAAUAGGUCAUAUGUAGAUGGGUAUGGUGUUCUGUAGGUAUAAGUUUGCACUUUUGGCUUCAAGCCGAAUUGUUCUUGCAUCACCUCCGCAAUACGUGCCGACCAAUCUGGCUGUUGCUGGUGAACUGUUGGCUGAGGUAUCGGCACGUGCUGGUAAAUCGGAGGCUGAAUAAACGGAGGCUGAUGAAAAGGUGGUAUCUGAGUGUAAGCCGGCUGUGUAGUAAAGGCUGGCUGUUUGAAUGAGCCACUCGUUUCAUCGUACAGCAUGAUCUCUGCUGUCUUGUUGAUCCCCGGAGCGACAGGCUAGUAUGGCGGCACGGUUGGCCGAAUAGCAGCCUGGAAGGAUGUCUGGAAUGGAGAGUUCACUUGACUGGCCGAUUGAUUCUGACCGGCCGUGACCGAAGGUGCCCCCCAGGGUGAUGGGUGAAUUGGGCUAACUGGAGGGAAUGGCGCAGAGGACAGUUGGAUGGAGCCAUAUCCCAUUGGAGUUGAUGACGAGGAAGCACCUGAACUCCCGACAGAAAACUGGAUCGGCUGCGAGGCCGAAUUCGAACAAUUCUGGUUUGGUGGAAUCGGCUGAAAAUAUGCCGGUCCCCUGUAUCCUUGAGGUAUGCCCCCGGCGAAGGAGUUGACAACAGCGUUGUGCACCAUGUUUGAAAGCACCGGGGACUGGUCAAUGAAAGCGUGAUGAAUAGACUGUUGAAUCAUAUCGGACAUUUUAUCCGAAUCUUCAGAAAUCGUGAUCUGGCGGGGAGCAGGGAAUGGAGUCUUCUUGAUGGUCUCCCCGCUUCUGGAGCGACUGAAAGACUUCAGGCAAGCUUUCUGGAACUGUGCCGUAUACUUGUCCAGCUCUUCCUUCUGGUCGUCCUUCAGAUCUGCUUCCGUCACCUCGAUGACGUUAUCUUCGGAGACUUCAGCAGCUUUCGACAUGAUGGCGGUUGUAUUGGUCCCACCGGGCGUGCCAAAAGUGUGUUGGCGCUAGAAAUCGGUCAACCGAAUCCCAGCGACCGACACACGACCCGGGAGAAUCUGCUUAGCUCCUGUUCGGGUGAAUGCCCUGGUGCAGUUCGCGCGGCGUGCCAGCCAAUCUGACCUGUUGAUUGGCAAGGAAGAAUACGUGUCAGGUCCAGAAAUCACGAUCGGCUAAGUUUCCGAUCGAGAGAGUUUAUCAGCGAAUCGACCGAUUUACUGUAGUAAUGAAAUCGGCUAUAAGACAGCCUGAUCUCUGUAGCCUUGUAGACAGGGAAUUACUAAAGUAAUCGAUACAAAGCUAUGAUAACAACACUAGGAACAGAUCUAAUCGGCAAUAGAUGAAUUUAAUAACAGAAUAUAGAAAGAGCCGAAACUACCGAUUCCUAGCUGGAUAACUAGUGAUAAAGACUAGAAAAACAGGUAAAACCUAUGGAUCUAGCAAAUAUCGAUAACUAGUGAAUAAAUCUAAACGAAACAACAGUGAUACGCCCGAAGUUAAAGCUUAGAUAUUACUCGAUAAACGGAACUUACAGAAUCGGCCGGAGAUCAAGAUGAUGCAGCCCUGCCAACCCGCACGAACUCGUGAGAAGAGAAAAGUAAUGGCGAAGUCGCCUGCUUGAAAGUAAGUACGAAGAAAAAGUAGCUUGUUGUAUUGAUUGGUUGAUGAUUACAGAUUUACAAAGGUAGCUAUUUAUAGCCCCAUACAGAUAUCUUCUUAACCGACUAGAAUUCUAUCCCUAAUUCAAACAGAAAACGAAUAUCUACAAGCACGAUUCGUGCUAGGUUAGUUACUCCACGCUUCGUGGGCUGAUUUCCAGCUCACCCUUCUAUUCCAAGCCCAUACAGGCCCAAUUAACCCAUCCUCCUAAUCGGCCGAUUCCUCAUCGGCAAAAGGCUACCGAUUGGGACUCUGGUAUAUUCGACCCGAAACGAGACAGAAGUCACCGGCCGAUCUCACACUGUAGCACCACUUGGCCGAUUCCCAACUGUGCUCCUCCGAUUCCCUCUCUUCUUGGCGCCGAUUCUACUAGUGACGAAAUCUGGCGUCAACAGUAUAUAUAACCAUUCUUGUAUUGUUUCACGCCACCGUUACUACUACGUCCUAAUUAACGAAUCUUGAACUGUUAGCCCUCCGGAUGGACACAAGGGCAGAAGACCCGAGGUCGUACAAAGGUGAUGGAAGGGAGGCUUGUCAUCACGGAAGUGACAGAAGAGGGCAGGCCGGUUGCUCCCGAGAAAGUAGCAAAGAAGUAUAUGAGUCAGAUCGGGGCAAUCGUCCGGGACAACGUGCCUAUCAGCAUCAGAGAAUGGAAGGGCAGAAGCACUAAUCCGUACGCCCUUCCAGAGACAGAAAAGAAUAUGCUGUGGGAAGACGUGAAGAGACAUUUCACAUUCCCCGAAGGAUAUAGUGAGAAGGAUGUCAAAGCGUGGACGCUUAAGAAGAUGGCUACUCAAUUCCAGACAUUCAAGAAGAUGCUGGAUACCCACUACAUCAAGAAGGGCCGAACUCCAGACUUCAACGCGUGGCCAAAGUUGAGGGACCACUGGGAUGCAUUUGUUGAAUAUAAGAGGAGUGAAGAAGGUGUGAAAAAGAUCACGACCAACACAGCAAAUGCUAGUCAGAAGGGCUACCACCAUCAUUUGGGGCGAGGUGGGUAUGGCUCAGCAAUUCCCAAGUGGAGGAAGAUGGAACAAGAUCUGAUCGAACGGGGAAUCGUACCUGCAACUAUUGAAUGGCCCGAACGAUCAAAAAAUUGGUACUACGCUCAUGGAGGCUCCCUAAGCCAAGAGGAUGGGAUGUUGAAUAUUAAUGACACAAUACGUGAGAAGGCCGAACAUCUCAUGAAGAACAUUGAAGAUUCUAAGGCUGGGAGGUUGAAGGUGGACCGAGAAAAUGAUGAGCUCACAUUGGCCCUCGGUAAUCCAGAGCACCCAGGACGUUGCCGAGGGUUCGGGGUGGUUCCGUGGAAGUUCACUUUCCGAGGCGACAGCACCUCGUACAGAAGCCGGAAGCGAAGAAAGGAACAGAUCGAGGAGAGCUGGCGGCAGAUGCUAGAACAAAGAAUGAUGGAUGAAAUCAAUCGGCGGGUGGCCCACGCAGUUGCGGAGUUGGCCCAAUCUGGAGCAUUGCCGAAUCCUAACACCGCCAGCCCUUCUCAACGCCUCUUGAGCAGUUGUGCUUCUACAGGGGUCCCCGAUGCGCAGACGCCCAGGUUACCCGUGGAGGAGCAACGGUUCCCCGUGGAUGCCAUCACACAACGGACCUCAUGUGAGCUGCAUGCACCGGUAGGCAACCUCACUAUUAAGGUAUACUUAUACAUAAUAUUUAUGCAAUCUUGUCAAUUGAUCCAGGCCUCGAGAUCGGAGUUCAACUUGUUUACUUCUGCUAUAUGUACAGGUAGCGUACGGGAGUGCGUUAGCAACCCUGGCGGGGCAGAGCAGUCAUGGCAUGGAAAUUCCAACAGGCUACGCCAGCGUCUGCGUAGAGCAAAUAGUUGAUCCCCAGUAUGAAGGUCUAGAGCUCGACUUCCCGGGAGGCGACGGGGAAAAGACAUUGGCAGAUGCGCUUCAUGGGAUAAUUCUAUGGAAGAAAUGCUACAUCAUUAUUCCCGGCACGGAGCCAUCUCCUCAGACCUCAAGACCGCUCCCCGUAGAUCCCCAGCAGCGACCUUCUCCUCAUACCUCGAGACCGUCAUCUCCUGCUCCAGGACCGUCCCUUCCAUCUAUAUCAAGGUCUCCAUCUCCACCACAUCCUAGUGCUGGGAGCGACGACGACAAUAACAACACCCCUCCCCGAUCACCGUCGCCGGCACCAAGAGCGGCCCCCUUGAAGGAACAUGCACCACCACUAAAGAAGUCACGAGCACCGCCUCCCAAGCAAAGACAGAGAAAGAAGAAAACAAAGGAGCCUGAAGUGACUCGUAAGGAACGCUUUGAGGCAAUGUAUCAUGCAGAACAGUGGGCAGAAAUCCAACGAGAGGCCAGUGAGUGGUUCAAGAAACAAGCCGAAGAAAAAAAGGCAAGGGAGAUGGAGCCACCGCCAGUAAGUCGGCGAGAUUUAAACUUUUUUAUCAGGAUGGAAGAAGGAGCCAAGAAAAGGAUACCACUCUUGUCAAACUAUGAACGGGCUCUAGUAAAGGCUGAUGAAAAGGAUAAAAGGAAAGGAAAGUCAUCUUCCAGCGGUCCAGUCCCCGACCUCAGCCAUUUAUCAAAAAAAGAUGCUCAACAGGUAAAAGCAAUGCCCUUGGAUCAACAAGCAAAUGUAUUGAAGUUCAUGGAAGAAACAGGUCUGGGACUUGAUGAAUGCAUAGGGCAAGUUGAGACGCCAACUGCACCGCCCCCUGAGCCGAAGUGGCCUUAUGAGCUAGGAAAACCUCUAGUAAAGCCUUCAUUGGUACGGAAGCUAUCAACAAAGAUGUACGCAUUCCAUCAAUGGUACAUGAUGGCAUCCGUCGACUCGAGGGAGAUGAUCGGCAUGAAGGUAAAACCGAUAGAUUUUCACGGUGAAGGGGAGAAAGUGAUGUGGCUAGACUUCAAGGAUAUAUACGAAGUGUACCAUCAUGAUGCCCUGGACGUCUCUCUGAUCAGCGCUUGGAUUCUGUAAGUGUCCGUUUAUCUCUACAUGUAAAUUUUGGCGUACAUCACCGUACUAACUUCAUCUUCCAUUUCAUGUAGGAUGCUAAUUCAGACAUGCCGCCGAGAGGCGUACCUACAUAUAGGCUUCAUGGAUCCAUCUGUAGUUAACCAACAACAGAUACAAUUAGCGCCGGAAAAAACCUUUGCGGAAAUAUACAAUUUCCUAGACAAACAAACAUUCAAGGAUUUCAUACUACUUUCAUACAACUUCAAGUAAGUGUGUGUAUACCGUCUACUUUCGAUGUCUUUUUCCUUAUCUCUACAUGUUAGUUAGCUCUAAUAUGCAUGAACAUUUUACGCACGCAGCUUCCACUGGAUCCUUAUUAUAAUUGAGCCUGAAAGAAGCCACGUCACUGUCUUCGAUUCGUUAAGGAAAGAUCCGGUGGACUACCAAGAAUUGCAAAACAUGCUAGGCUUGUAAUAAUUCUGGACCUUUAUCUCUAUGCAAAAAUUUAUUUCCUAAAUUUUAUCCCUGUUACACUAUAUCAUUCAUUAUUCUAAUCCGCAGCGCAUGGAAACAAUUCAUAAGGACACACAAAGGUCCAUUCAAAGAAAAACUUACAUGGAACACAGACUUCCCGGUACGUAUGCAGUCUGCACAUUUAUUACAUUGUAUAACACGAAUAUUUCAUAACUUAUUUUUUUCCGCACUGAAGUGCUUAAGACAGGAACCCGGGAAUAAUCUAUGUGGCUACUACAUCUGUGAGCACAUGCACAGUUUUAUGGGACCCAAGGGACCGAAGAUGACGCCGCACAACUUUAAAGUACGUAAAAUAAAACUAUUACUAGUUAAUUAUUUUCUAGCUCCUUAUAUGUAUUUGUUCAUGUAACAUUCACAAAUUUCCAAAUUAUAGAUGUUAAAUAUUCAACAAGGACUCUUGAAGGAAGAAAGAGUAGCGGCAAUAUGUGAAGGUCUCAUUGGAUUCAUAAUGGACGAGGUGGUAAAUCCAAAAGGAGAAUUUUAUUAUGAUGGACGACAAUUAGACACUCCGAUCAGCAACACCACGACGGGAAGAUUGUAGGAAGAUACUUUGAUUUAUUUGUAUAUAUAAUACGCGCUAAUUAUGAUCGAUUUGUACUAAGCUAGUUGAAUUGUGUAUAUGAAUUGUGUAUAAGGAUUGUGUAUAUAUAUAGUAAUUGUAUAAUUACAAAUCCCAUUCGUUUAAAUACUAGUUGAUUUCGUUCUAAAAAAAUCUCAACUACUAAAGGUUAACAAAUUAAAAGGGCCGCGGUACUACGUAUACGUGAUGCAUGCAUGAAAAAUUCAGGCGUCACGGCAGUGCCAUGCAAGCGUCAUUUAGUCCCGGUUGGAAUCCAGCCGGGACUAAAGGGUAACCCUUUAGUCCCGGUUGGUGACACCAACCGGGACUAAAGGGGGACCUUUACUCCCAGUUAAAAGACCCAGGACUAAAGACCCCCCCUUUUGUCCCGGUUGGUUUAUCCCGGAUGGAUUUUCGAGAGAUAUGUACCCUACCAACCGGAACUAAAGGCCAAUAUUGGUAAGCUUUCAAACAACCUUCAAGUGCUAGGGUUAGGACAAACAACUUGUCAGGGAUAAUUCCCACCAGCUUUGGGAACCUUACUGGCUUAACAAAACUUUAACUUAGUUACAACAAUCUCAAUGGUCCAAUCUUAGAGUGGGUUGGAAAUAUGAAGGAUCUUGGAGCUAUAGUUCUUGAUGCAAAUAACUUCACUGGUUUGAUUCCGUCUUCUAUGAGUAAUCUUACAAAAUUGACUCUGCUCUCUCUUACAAAAUGAAUUCGAAGGUCCAAUAUCACCAUGUCUGGGAAGUCUGCCACUUCUUACAUAUUUGAACCUUAGUUAUAACAAUCUGCAGGGUAACAUUCCUAAGGAAAUAUUCCAUCCCGAGUCCUCAAUAACCACAUGCGUGUUAUCCUACAAUAAGUUAGAAGGUCCAAUUCCUCCAGAGAUUUCUAAUCUUUGACGACUGACGGAACUAUAUCUUUCAUCCAAUAAGCUUAGUGGGGAAAUUCCUUCAACCCUAGGAAAUUGCAAAGAGUUACAGAUCAUUGAAAUAGAUUGUAACUAUCUCCAGGGGAGCAUUCCGUUGACUUUUAAUGGUCUAAAGAGCAUGACCUUGCUAAAUCUUUGACACAACAAUUUGUCAGGCUUCAUCCCAACAAAACUGGGUGACUUACCAGCUGCAACAAAUUCCUCACCCAGCUGGAUCUAUCUUACAAUAAUCUGCAAGGCGAAGUACCCACAAAUGGAGUAUUUGGAAACGCCAAAUUUUUCUCACUUCUUGGCAACUAGGGACUUUCUGGAGGAGUGCGGGAUCUACAUAUGUGCCCAUGUGCUACAGUCAUGGAGCAAAGAAACACGAUACUACUACCUGAUCAGGUUACUCAUCCCGGCAUUUGGAAUCAUGUCACCCAUAAUGUUGAUCUAUGCUGUAAUCCCACAGAAAAAGAAGUCAACAACAAGGUACUCAUUGUUAUUUUAUUUUGGUAAGAAAUUCCCUAUAGUUUCUUACAAGGAUCUAGCUCAAGCUACAGAAAACUUCUCAGAGUUCAACCUGAUUGGGAGGGGUAGCUAUGGUUCAGUGUACAGAGGAAAGUUAACUCAAGCUAAAAUGCAAGUGGCUAUCAAGGUUUUUGAUCUUGAGAUGAGAUUUGCAUACAAAAGCUUUGUAUCAGAAUAAGAGGUCGGGUGGGCCGCAGCCCACUCUAAGAUUUGGUCCAAAGAACCCAACGUAAGAAAUCGGUGCUCGAUAGCCUAAGAGGGGGAGGGGUGAAUUAGGCAACUUAAAACCUUAACAUGUGGCUUCAACUACAAAGCAUCAAAAAAUAGACUAAAUCAUGCUAUGCAGAUAUGCAUCUAUGGUUGAUCUAGUGAAAACUUCCCACCCACGAAGAGUUUUACAACUUAGAGCCAAUCCUAUCAAGAUAUUACUCUAGAAUAUAAGAAAUGCAAAAAUGUAUAAAAGUGGGUUAGGAACGAUGCAAACUCGGGACGACGAUUUAUUCCGUAGUAUCGAUAGGAAAAUGACACCUCUAGUCCACUAGAGCUCCACCGAGGAUACGCUCCUGGACACCAAAUCUCUCUCGAUCAAGGUCUUGGACCCACCACAAAGGCUCUCACCAAGCCAGAUGAGAAGCUUGCCAUGAAGGAAAGCUAACCACUCCCUCUCUUCCAUUCACCAUGGCGCCGUCUUUACUACAUAGCUUCUCUAUGAAGGAAGGGUUCUCCCCGUCCCCCGCACACGAUCGUUGUUAUUGAUCCACAUCAAGCUGGAGAGUCGAAGACUUGCCAGCGAGCCACCAAAGGCCCGAGGCGCCAGCACACCAAGCUUACAAUGGUGGUUCACUCCUUGAACCAAUCACAAGGUAGCAACACCUUGAACUCACUCUCUCUAGAUGUAUCCUAGCACUAAUCACUCUCGAAGCAUGUGCUAAACCUUGUAUUAUCACUUUUUGCACUUUUGGUGGGAUGGAUGUGUUCUUGAUGAGUCUUGAUCUUGAAUGAACUCUUGGACACUACAGCAAUUUCAAAUGGGCGAGUAGAGGGGGUAUAAAUAGCCCAUGGACCUCAAAGACCCAUUGAUCCAACGACUAGUAAAAUCUGUGAGCAUCGGAUGAUCCCAUGGUCACUUUAGAUAGGCAUCGGAUCAUCCGGUGCCCCUUGCUAAUGCAUAUAGCCGUUGGACCCCCUGCCCAAAAUUACUCCGAUGCUUCAUCCAAUGGGCAUCGGAAUAUCCGAUGCUGAGGACUUUUUCACCUAAAACCUUCUGGAUGAUUUCAAAGUAAAUAUGUUUAGUCCGAUGCCUCCAACUUCUGACCAUCGGAACAUCCGGUACUAUAGGAUUUUCUCCAUCUUCUUUGCGCAUUGUUCCGACGCUUGUAAAAAGAACCUCGUCAUAUCAUUCGGUGCUUACUGCAACUCAAGCUGAUUUCUCAAUUGUACUAAUUGCUUAGAUGGUUGCUCUAGUGGACCGUCGGAUCAUCCGGUGCUUCAUAUUUUUCUGAGUUGAAUAUCGCAAUUUGCACACAAAAAUACCAUCACUUGGAUUUCUAUCAUUUAAACACUUUGAAUACCAUAGAAUGAUCCAGAUAUUUAUGAAUUGGACACUUGAAUAUCAUGAUUUGGACCUUUUGCCAUGAUUUAGUUUGCAUUCUUAGGAUCCAGAAAAUCUAAGGUACAUGCUAGUCAAAGCAUUAGUUUGUCACUCAGUCAUUAAAAUCACAAAUUAUAACCUAAUAGGACCAUGUUCCUUGCAAUCCAGCUCCUAGAUUUUCCCAUCCGCUGAGACGCUGACAGAGCCAGCCACGAAGCCAGCACCCACGACUCAUGGUAAUCAUGGUAAUAAAAAGGAUCAAGUUAAUGAUUUGAUCUAGUGGCUUGUCAAAUUUUUUGCAUUGUUGGACCACUCUAACUUGAAAUCCUAGAAAUUCUCACUAAAAUCAGAAACAUCAAAUAUUAAUCGUGCAAACUCUAAUAAUUAUAAUCAUUGAUCUAUAAUAUUUUAUAAAAGGUUACCUACCAAACAUAUUCUAAAAUAAACCCUAACCCUAUAUCUAAAUUAUCGAGCUCUGCAAUUAUAAAAAACUAAUCUAAAGUAACCUCCAUAAUCUUCGUCCAAUUUAUUUAUACAUAUCAUUAUAAAGUAUAACUUCAAAUGUUACUCUAAAUUUGUAUCUAAGUUACCCACGUCUAAAUUUGUAUCUAAGUUACCCACGUAUGUUCUUAUUAAAAUAAUCUAAAGUAAACACCUAAAUCUUAAUCUAAUUAUCUUCAUGUGUGUCAUUCAAAAAAGUCCAAAAGUAAACAUUAUGAGUGUUAUUAUUAAUAUAGAAAUACUAAGUUAAGGUAUAUACGCAUGAUGAGUGUCACCAUGUAGACAAUCUGUACAUGUAUGUGGAGAUGUGAUACAAAAUGAAAAAAAAGUGUGAAUGUGGAUAAAAAAUAUAUAGAGUAAUUAAUAAUUAAAAAUAAUCAUAAGACAUAAGUAUACAUAUCAAACGCCUGUCUCGAUCGCUUGGCUUCGUGCCGAAACCAGCUAGCUAAACAGUAAACACCUUUGCCGUCGGGGCUGGCUCCACAAGGUGGCAGUUGUCAGUUGUGCUGUUCGAUCUCCAUCCCACGCUGGCAGGUAGGACACCCGUGAGGCGAUGAAUCGUGACGCGAGCUUCGACGGGCCGCUAGCUUCGACGUACGAGUACAGCGAGCAGUGGCUGGAAUUUUGCAAUUCCUUCGGUUGGGUUGGGUGGUUUUGUGCGGGAUCGGCAAUGGUGACAACUGGACGAGCUGUUUGUGUUGGCUUUGUGCAAACUGCUCUCAAGUACAUUACAUUCAUCUUCUAAUGAUCAAUUUACUGAGUUUGCUGUCGAAGAUGGGCUAACUACUUGGUGAUGCAAUCACAACGCAUGCAAAAGAUGUGUUUCAACUUGCACAGCCACCACCUUGCUGAUGGUGAUUUAGCUAAGUUUCAACUUGAAAUUUCAAACUUCCGAAAAAAAUGCAGCAAGAUCGUAUCUAUGACGCUUGACUCUUUGCAGAAUACUUACAGUUAUCUGGUCCUCAAUUGGAAUAAAUUUUGUUUGCAUAAAAAGUAAAGUGCCACAUUUUCACCUUCAUAGAACUAAUUGUCUCACUAGAUAUUUCUCCAAUUAAUAAUCAACAUUGUACGAGACCCCUACGAAGCACGGCAUUGUAUAGACUAUUCUUGUCGAGAUCGGAUACAUAAAAGUUGACUUGACGCGCUACCCGUUCAAAGAUAACCCAUGAACGAAUCAUGGCCACACGAUACAUUCUGGAAGCGCGAUCAUUACAAAGAUCCAAAUCGGAUUUGAAAACGAAAAUCCAGCGCCGGUAGACCAUUCCACGAGCUGAAUUUUAUCGUCAUCGAAACCGCACUAGACAUGUAGCACGCAUCAGCCCGGAAUAUCUCUGUCCAUUUCCUGCAGAAAAGUACCCUGCGAUUCGAGGCUGGACACGCCGCAACAAUCUUGUCCAGCUCAGACAGUGACGGCCGCACUGUUGAGAAGAUCGAAGCUGUGAAGUGGCGAUAACCGGCGAGUUUGACGGACUCGGGGUCUUCGCUCCAACGCCGUCAAGCUAAGAUAAGAUAUGAUGAUGAUGCAAGUGUGUGGAUUGUAAUACCGCUGUAAGACUGUUUUUAAACCCCUGGGGCCUGAGACAGUUGUGCAUCCAACUUAAGCACUAGUGGUCUCCGUUUCAGCCAUUCCUGAGACCAUCCAAACAGUUAGGUCAGGCAUAAGAGGACAUCAAACGCCUGCCUGGAUCGCUUGGCUCCAUGCCGAAACCAGCUAGCUAAACAGUAAACACCUUUGGCGUCGUCGAUCGGGGGCUCACCCCUGCACAAAUACGGCAGUGCUGUUCGAUCUCCAUCCCACGCUGGCCGGACGCCCGUGAGGCGAUGAGUCGUGUCGAAAGCUUCGUGGAUCGGGCCGCUAGCUCCAGUUUUUCAGACGAGUGGCACGCUCACGUGUGCACGUACGAGUACAGCGAGCAGCGGCUGGAAUUUUGCAAUUCCUUCGGUUGGGUUGGGUGGUUUUGUGCGGGAUCGGCAAUGGCGACAACUGGAUGAGAGCGGUUUAUGUUGGCUUUGUGGGAACUGCUCUCAAGUGCAUUACAUUCAUCUUCUAAAGUAGCUAACCCAUCUUUGUGCUGGCUAAUUUUCAAGUACUUCACAGCCAACCACCUUGCUGAUGGUGAUUUCGCAGAGUUUGAACUUGAAAUUUCAAACUUGGAAAAAAAUACACGAAGAUCAUAUAUAUGAUUGUUUCCAGAAUAUCAUGCAGUUAUCUCGUCCUCAAAUGAACCAUUUUUUACAAAAAAGGACUUUAUCCUACAAUUACUACCAACUUAAAAAAAGGACUUCAUGUUACUAUUAUUAAUUGGAGGGUGGACACUCUAGAAAAACAAAGAAAUCUUAGAAAUUCUCACAAAAAGUCAAAAUAUCUAGCCAUCAAUCAGUAUGCUCAAAUCAUCAUAGCCAUUGGAUCUAUUUAUGUUUUCUAAAAAAUUACCCAUGUAUGCCAUUAUGAAAAUAGCCUAAAGUAACCCCCUAAAUCCAUGUAUAAAUUACCCACCUCUUCCAUCAUAUAAAAUAAACUAAAUAACCCCCUAAGCUUCAUUUAAAUUACCCACUUAUACCAUUAUAAACAAUGUUUCAAAUAACCCCCUAAAUUUUCAACUAAAUUGCCCACCACUAAUACUUAAAAAAUAACUUAGAGUAACCCUUAAAUUUGCAUGUAUAUUACUCACAUAUGACAUUAUUAAAAAUAACAUGAGGUAACCCUACUUUUGAAUCCAAAUCACCUUAAUUAAAAAUAUAUACCAAAUAUAUGAUUCUAAAUCAUUUAUUUCUUACACUUUGGUAUAUGAUAUAAUAAUUAAGGUAACCCUACUUUCGAAUCCAAAUCACCUUAAUUGAAAUAUAUACCAAUAUAUGAUUCUAACUCAUUUAGUUUUUAUGCUAUUGAUAUAUGAUAUAAUAAUUAAGGUAUAUACAUGUGAUGUGUGUGACCAUUUAUGAAGAUAUAGAGGAAAUGAUGAGAAUAUAGAUUUAUAUGUUAAAUUUGCAACUAAAUUUCCCACCACUAAUAGUGAAAAAAUAACUUAAAAAUAAAUUAAAGUGACCCCUUAAAUUUGCAUCUAUAUUACCCACAUAUGUCAUUAUUAAAAAAUAACAUGAGGUAACCCUACUUUUGAAUCCAAAUCACCUUAAUUACAAAUAUAUACUAAUAUAUGAUUCUAAAUUAUUUAUUUUUUACACUAUUGAUAUAUGAUAUAAUAAUUAAGGUAUAUACGCAUGAUGUGUGUCACCAUUUAUAUAAAUAUAGAGGAAGUGAUGACAACUUAUGGUCGGUAUGUGUCAUCGGUACGCGGUUGAGUUAACAUUAUGGCUUAAACUUAUGAUCCAUAGAUAAAUUCAAGCACAUACCGACGAUGCAAAUUGAAAAGUUAAUAAUUAUAAAUGUGGAUGAAAUAUUAUAGAGUAAUUACUAACUAAAAUCUAUCACAAUUAGAUGAAGAUAAUAAGUAUAUAUCUAUAUAAGCAUUGUGUUAGGAUAUUUAACAAAUGAGAGGUAGCUUAAGGUAAUAGUUUCGUAACAAUGGGGCUACAUUUUUUCCAUUGGAGAUUCCGCAUUAGUUCUCACGAGACACGCUAGGAAAAAAUCCUAGAAAUUCUCACUAAAAUCAAAAACAUCAAACAUCAAUCGUGUAAACUCUAAUAAUCAUAGUCAUUGGUCUAUAAUAUUUUAUAAAAGGUUACCUACCAAACAUAUUCUAAAAUAAACUCUAAUCCUAUAUCUAAAUUAUCGAGCUCUGUAAUUAUUAAAAACUAAUCUUAAGUAACCCCAUAAUCUUCAUCCAAUUUACUUAUGCAUAUCAUGAUAAAGUAUAACUUAAAAUGUUACUCUAAAUUUGUAUCUAAGUUACCCACGUAUGUUCUUAUUAAAAUAACCUAAAGUAAAUACCUAAAUCUUAAUCUAAUUAUCUUCAUGUGCAUCAUUCAAAAAAGUCCAAAAGUAAACAUGAUGAGUGUCAUUGUUAAUAUAGAAAUAUUAAGUUAAGGUAUAUACGCACGAUGAGUGUCACCAUGUAGACAAUCUUUACAUGUAUGUGGAGAUGCGAUACAAAAUGAACAAAAAAGUGUGAAUGUAGAUAAAAAGUGUAUAGAGUAAUUAAUAAUUAAAAAUAAUGAUAAGACAAAGAUAAGUAUACAUGUAUAUAAGAGUUAUGUUGAAAUAUUGAAAAAACUAAGAGAGUAGUAGGUAAACAAUUUCGAUUAUUAAUUAGGAGCUCAAUUUUUAAAUAAUUUUCAAAUAUGAUAAUUUUUUUAAAAUAUUAUCCCGUGCAGGAGCACGGGUUGAUGGACUAGGACAACUAAGGCUGAUCACUAGAUAUUUCUCCAAUUGAAACGGUGUUCAACAUCUGCAAAACCCUGCAAAGCACGGCAUUGUACAGACUAUUUUUAUCCAGAUUGGAUACAAAUUGACUUGACCAGCUCGCUACCCUAUCAAAGAUAACCUAUGAACGAAUCAUGCACACACACAUACAUUCUGGAAGCGCCAUCAUCACAAAGGUCCAAAUCGGAUCUGGAAUCGAAAAUCCAGCACCGUAGACCAUUCCUCGAGCUGAAUUUUAUCAUCAUCGAAACCACACGAGACGUCGCACAUCAGCCUGGAAUAUCUCUGUCCGGUUCUGAUGAAAAGUACUUUGGGAUUCGAGGCUGGACACGCCGCUACAAUCUUUGUCCAGCUCAGACGGCGACGCCGGCGCUGGGAGAGAAGAUGGAAACUGAAAAGUGGCAGUAACUGGCGAGUUUGACGGACUCAGGGUCUUCGCCCAACGGCGGUCAAGCUGAGAUAAGGUGUCUCAAUACGAGUGUGUGGAUGAUAACGGUGACGUAAAACUGCUUUUUAAACCCCUGGGGCCUCAGCCAGUUGAGCAUCCAGCUCAUAAUUCCAGUUCAAACACCCACUAGCAAGCAAAUAGAAGCAGAUUAGAAAGGCUGACGCACAGCAGAGGUACCAUACUCUCUCCCUCCCUUCCCUCCCUCCUGAUGGUUUUAACUAUCCUCUUUAUGCUGUUACCUUUUUAAGAUGGUUUUAGCUAGUUACUUGCUGCAACUCUGUAUGGUUUCUCAAAACUAGUACCCCUCCGUAGGUCAUUUUAAGUUUUUUUAUUUUUAUAGAUAUUAUCUAUGAAUUAUCUAUGAACAUAAAAAAUCAAAACCAUCUAUAAUUUGAAACGAAGGGAGUACUUCUUAGAAUUAGCUCUGGUUACAGCAUGAGCUUACGCUGCGUAAUUCAUCUAGUAGUACUUUAUACGCUGCCAAGUUUAUGCUUUAAUUUUGCAGGUGACAAUUAAUAUGCUCCUCAUGCGUCACUCGAUGUUGCUGGCGAAACUCGCCGUGCUUAUCGUAUUGCCUUUUUUGCUGCUGUGUUAUGGAGUUGGCAACGUUUACUGCUCGACAAUUCAUGAGAAUAGAGAAGAUCUGCGCUCAUUGCUCGACUUUAAGAAGCGGAUCAGUUCUGAUCCAAAUGGAGCCUUGAUGAGCAAUUGGACAACCAACACCCAUUUCUGCCAGUGGAAUGGUGUUAACUGCACUUCCACACCACCAUAUCGCGUCAGAGAGCUCAUCCUCACCGGGCUAAACUUGGGUGGCGAAAUAUCCUCCUCUCUUGGAAAUCUGACCUCCCUUAAUUAUCUUGAUCUAUCCAAUAAUAGCUUUCAUGGUCCCAUACCUCUUCUUAACAAACUCCAAAACCUAGAGUACCUUUUAUUAGGAAGCAACCUUUUGCAAGGUGUUAUUCCCGACGCACUUACAAAUUGUUCUAAUUUAGUUACACUAGAUCUCUCUGGAAACAACCUCAACGGUCUCAUUCCUCCUAGAAUAAGCUUUCUUACCAAACUAGCAUAUAUCAAACUUUACAGUAAUCAUGUCACUGGGGAGAUACCAGCAUCCCUCAGAAACAUCACAAAUUUACAACU
Molecule: long non-coding RNA, 53011 nt
Filed under: Setaria italica (foxtail millet)
Lineage: Eukaryota; Viridiplantae; Streptophyta; Magnoliopsida; Poales; Poaceae
Description: long non-coding RNA (SITA_LNC000559)
Source: RNAcentral